RNAcentral lists this long non-coding RNA (50998 nucleotides) under Vitis vinifera (wine grape). RNAcentral's name for it is "long non-coding RNA (VVIN_LNC003441)". The record is from RNAcentral. Lineage: Eukaryota; Viridiplantae; Streptophyta; Magnoliopsida; Vitales; Vitaceae.
UCUCUCCCUAACUUCACAUGACAGCAACAAAAGCUGUCAUUCCCAUCAACUCAUUUAUUUUCCCAUCGUUGCCACUCUCUCAACCGAGCUUUCCACCUCCAUCCACCGUUUUCUAGAAUUCAGCUGCAACUACUGGACGGCCUAGACCGUGCGAGAAGCGAAAUAUAGAAGAAAGAGAAGAGCAGCCUAAGCCGAGCAACAGUUCUCUUCCUCACGUACCUCGCCGGAGUUCUUCAGUUUCGAAGCUGUUGUUUCAAUCCCGAGCGCUUCUCUCUACACUGCAGACGAUAGCCAGCACACCUCCUCUCUUUCUUGCGAAGUGAUCGACGACGCCAUUGAUGAGAACUCCAACUUGAUCAGCAGCUUUCGUCGGAAUGGCUUGAGCUGCGUUUGCGAGAAGUUUGGUUAAAAACUUGCAUUUCAGGCCUUGAAAGCUCCAUUUCUGGUGCUGCAAUUCUCGGCGUAGCUGGAAAGGUGAAGUACUUGGGUGCUGGUUUUCUUCCCCGAGGUGUUGACGUAGUUGGAAAGGUUAAGUUUGGUUCACUGUAUCUAUUUUAUCUUAUUUUAUUUAUUUAUUUGUAUUAUUAUUAUUAUUAUUACUAUUAUUAUUAUUAUUAUUAUUAUUUAGGUUUUAUUCUCUUUUGUGUUUUUGAGCCUGUAUUUUAAAUUUUGAGACUGUAAGAAGGGCGGGAUUGUUAGUUUCUAGACUAAUAAGGCUUGUUUGGCCGAUAAUAUAGAAGGACGGUGGGAGAGUCAUGAUGAUUGCAUUGGGUUAAGGGGGUGUGGUCAUGUGAAAACAGAGUUCUUUGGAGGUUUCCAGAGGUCGUAUAAAAGCAGGGGAACCGCCUCUGUUAGGGAUCUCUUCGGCUGUAAUUUUUUUCGGCUAAGAAGAGGGCAGAGAAAAGGAUAGGGUUGAGAGAUCUCUGGGAAGAGUGUUUGGUAUGAGUCUAGACUUCCGACUGUUUAAUUUUGUAUGCUUCGUCUUCCUUUUAGGUUCCAUUUUCUCUAACUAUUUUGUGUAUUCGUGAAAAUCAAGCCUUAGAUCCUUUUUGAAAGAAGAAAAAUUAUAUUAUCACAUUCAAGUUUACUCUUUACUAAUCAUUUUAGAUACGAUGAUUAUAUUUUUAUUUCAUAAAAAGAAGAAAAAAUUAAGUUGCAAUAGUCAAUUUGUUUGUCCUUUUAUGUUAGUCAAUUCCUUUUUGAAACUUUCCAAUUUCUUUUAUUAUUUUAAUUAUUUUCCCUAAUUAAAUUUUUUUAAAAUCCCACUAGUUCCAAUUUAAAUUUUUUUUAAGCUCAAUCAUUCACCCCACUAACAAUUCUUUUUAAAUCAACUCAUCCACUAAUUCUCUACUCUGUUUUCCAAUCCAUUCUUCUAUUUGGAAUUUAAAAAGCCAUAUGGUCCUUUGCAGCUAAUUUGAAAUGCCCACCAGGGACUAAGCUCCAAGCCUGGUUCAAGCUGUGUCGCUGUAAUAUGGUUGUUGGACGGGUUAGAUAUCCAAUUUCAAGAGGAUUAGGACCUGUCAAAUUGUUCCCUGAAAGAUCCAUCCGGGACAUGGACUACAAAAUAUUUCCUAUAUAGGAUUCAAAUCUAUUCUAUUUAACUUUUUUAUACUAUAAAUAAAUAAAACAACUUUUUGUUAUUUUAUUUCUUUGUAUAGUAAUUAAAUAGAAAACAAAUAUAACAAGGUAGAUUAUAAUUAUAUUAAAGAACAAUUAGUCAAAGAAGAAAAAAUUGUUAGAACAACAAAAUUUAAAAGAAACACUAGAAAAGGUUAACUAAAAUUCAAGUACGAAUUUGAACAUAAAACCUCGUUUUAAUAACUUUCCUUAAGACUAAAUUGGGAUUCUUAGUACUUUUGAAGUAUUACCAUUUUAGUAUGCAUACUAGAUCCUUGUCUAAAUUAUAAAAUUAUUUGCAAUGUGAUGAUAAACAUAGAUACUUUUUUGUGUACUUACAUUAAAAUUUAGUGUUGGUAUUGAUUAAUUUGAAAAUAAUGUUAUUAAAGUGAGUAAAUAAUUAAUAAAAUUUUGGAAAUGAUUAAAAAGUAGACCGAAGACUAUGCUGAAAUUUCAUAGGAAUUUUAAAAUUUUAACUUGUUAGCUAUGACUACUUUUCUUGCUUAUAACUAAGUUUGGGAUUAUGGUUGCUUCUAGGGUGUUACAAUAUUAGCAUAUAAAUAUUAUAUCUUGUUUGAAAUUUAAUAUUAUUUAGUAUAACAAACUUAGAGACUUAGAAGUUUUCUUGCCCUAAAAUUUGAUUUGGUUGUUAACUACUAGAAAAUUUGACAACAAAUUAAUCAUGUGAUGGUUUGAAAAAUGUCUAUGAAAUAUGGGAGAUAGAAAUUUUAGUUUACUAAAUUAUUAUGUUUGAAUAUUUUUUUAUUUCUUGUAUUUUUUUUUCUUUUUAUUUUUGGCAUUUCCCUCAUGGGGCUGUGGAUUUGCUAGAUCCUAAGACUGGUAAAGUCUUUAAGAUUAAUGCCGAGAGGGUUAAGCCAUUUGUGAAGGGAAUCAAUGAAGUUGGGGAUCAAAUCCCCCUUCAAAUUAAUGUUGCUCACUAGACCAAACGUGUUUUUCUUCCUUUUGUACAUAGUUAGAGCUUUUACAGAGUGUUCAUUUCUUUUGAUGUUAUUUCAUUUUUUUUCUUUAUUUCUUUUUCUUUAUUUAGGUGGGUUGCUUCAUAAUUUUUAUCCCAAUAGCUCUCAUGGAUCUUAAAUUUGCAUGAUUUCUUGUAGACUUGUGGAUUCCAUAGUUGUUUGUGGUUGUUGCCCUUUUUUUCUCAAGUGUCAAAUUUGUACUCCCCAUUAAAAAGGAAAAAAAGAAAAAAAAAAAAGAGAAGUGCAUUAAGGGGCUUGAAUUUGAAAGAGAGGACACUCAAGGCCCAAUUUUAAUAAAUCUUACUUUAUAUAAUUUAUAUAGUAAUUAAAUACAAAAGAAAUAUACUUAUAAAUAAAAUUAUAAAUAUUUUUAAAAAUAAUUAUACAUGUCAUCAUUAUUAUUUUCUUUACAUCCUUAAACAUAUCCAGACUAAGAGUUUUCAAAUUCUGUAAAUUAUUAUCAAAUGUCACAUAUUUUAUCCAUUAAUACACAUUAUUUUCUUUAAUAAGAUUGCUUAUGUGCAUUAGUAGUUGUUUUAUCAUUUUUUGUAAGUUACAACAUUUCUAAGUUUGAUCAAUUUUCGUCUUACAAUUUUUUUUUUUUGAAUUUGGGUUCCUUGUUUCCAAUAUUUCCCCGUGUUUCCCUAAAUCCAAGUAUUCAUAUUGUCACAAAUUCUCAUAUUUAAAAUGGGAUAUUGUGGACCCCGCAUUUCGGCUCAUGCAUUUUUCACUCAAUGGCGAGCUCGAUUUUUGUUUGAAAAAUGAUUUCUAUUGAUUAAGAAAAAUGACUUGGAGUCGCCACUUAUUUUUGUUUUAUUUUUAAAACAAAAUAAGAAAGAAAAACCCUAAGUGUGACUCCUUAUUUUGGAAAAGGCGGUCUGUGAAAAACCAGAUCGAGUUCAGGGGUCAGGUUACUUAUCGAGAAGGUACGAUAAAGACCGUAGCACCCCUCUAAGUCCCUAAAAUCGGGUCUCUACUAAUAAAAUGAAGCUGACACGACAAUUGAUGAAUGAACCAACGAAUACUCUAAAUGAUCAUGCACGUAUGAGAAUCCGAACAAGCAUAAGGAGUGACCAUGAGGCGAGUAAAUACGUACCUGGGUGGCGAACCGAUAUGCGCUAUCAAGAGAGGGGGUCAGUGCACAAUUUAAAGAAUAACUUCAAGCAUGUCAUAGAGCAGAAUAAAAAUCAAUCAUGCAUGACAAUUAAAUCAAGCAAUUAGUCAUGAAUUCACAUAUGUGGGGCCCCCACCAAAGCCCAUUUAUUUUUGCAUGAAUUAAUUCUAUAAAUUCAAUUAUUCGGAAUUACGGAAUUUAAAUUUAUGUUUAUUUUAAAACAUUUUAAAUCAUGAAAAAUUCGAAAGGGGCUCACCAAAGAAAAUGACGACCAAAUUUUAUUGAAAAUAGGAUUUUUGAUGAACCUAAGCAAAAGAAAAUCUAAGGAUGAAGAUUUGAAAAAGUUAAAAUUAUUUAGAAAUCUAGAAAUUGGAAAAACCAUUUGAAAACCGGGAAUUGGGAAAUUAUUUUAAAAUCGAAGACGAUGAGAUACAAAGAAAGGACACGUGGUUCGAAGGUGGCCAUGCUAAGCAUGCAGCGAUUUGGUGCAUCUACAUAUCCAUCCUUGCCAAUGAGGCUUGAUUGGGUGCUUCCCCAAGCCAAGUCUGCUAGCUGUUGGGACCAUUAUUGGCAAGCCCAAGUUAAGUCAUAUAGGAUUUCACACAAUCAUUAGAGCAGCCGAUUGUCCAAAUAAUCACAGAUUCAUCGCUUUUGUGAUCAACCCUUUCAAGUACAGCUCAAACCUGCUUGAGGAGGUCAAGAAUUCUUCACUUAGCUGCACAGUCAUCGCAAGAGGGCACAGUGGUAGAGCUGGACGUGCCAUUGUCAAUCUGUAUCAUGCUUACCAUUUCAGGAAUAAGGCCAAGUAGGAAUAAGGGGCACCAAGACCGACAGUAGCAAAGACUGCCUUCGGAAGAAAUAUUUAUGCAGCCAAGAACGAUGGUAAGGCUGCAAGAGAAGGCAUUUGUUUACCAGACGCGAGGCAUUCGGGUUGAGAACACCACCCAGAACUAUACCAUCUGAACCUGCUAAGGACACACUCAAACCACCAGUUCUAUGGCAGCUACCAUUAUCUUCUGAAAGCAAGAAGAAACCUGACAGAGAGAUAAUAUCAAAUCGACCCUCAUAUGAAACAGUAUCACCAGACAUAGCUGGCUAGCGAAGGGUAACAUUGCAGAUGACACCAUUUACAGAGAGGAUGUAAACUGUUCGGGGCCUUCUUUUCAAUUCCUCAACCAGUUUGUAAAAUGUCCUCUCCUUGCAUCAAAAGUCCCACAGCUCUUAAAAGGCAUUGAGAGCAUAAAGCAGGCUGACCGAAACCCAGCUCGCGGCUACAAAGACGAGACCCCAUGCACGAGGAUUAGACAUGCUCUAGCAAGGUAUUUUACAUCGAGAUUUGCAUAUUACAGAUGUUACAACCAGCAACUUUGGAGUGAGAAACUUCUCCUCUGCCCAGGUUGCGGAUCCCUUAAGCAAAUGUUUCAAGUGGCACUGACGUGAUUUAUCUUUUGGGUCAAAUCUAUGCAGGUUUACUGACCUAUGAUUGCCAUCUGGAGGGGUUUCAUGAUGGAAAUAACCACGUAACUGCUGUGUGGAAUAAGAUAAGAGUCCUAGGACCUAAGGAUGCAUUUGGAUGGAAAGAAGAAACUCAGCCACAAAGCAGCCUGCAGACCACAUAUCAUUGGCAGUUGUAUAUUCUGUAGCCCUAAAGAUCAGUUCUGGAGCUCUAUGAUACCUUGAGCAAAUAUAUGACUUGUUUGGUUCACCUGGCACCACCUUCUUUGAGCUUCCAAAAUCACAUAUAUGCAGCUGAUGAGUGUGGGGAUUGACCCAUAAAUUUUGAAGCUUGAUAUCACAAUGACAGACCCCAAUAGCACUGUGCAUGCAGUUAAGUGCAUGACAGAUCUGGUAUGCAUACAAUUGCACAUAUAUAAUGGGCACAUGCUGGUCCUUCCUGCUGUGAUGUCUUGAAACUUGGUAUGCAGUUUCAAAUACAGCUUCAAGAGCAAGAUUAAGGUACACUGCAUCUCUUUCAUUUCGAUUCUCAGUCACAUCCUCAACAAUUGCUCGUCUCAACAUCAACAUCACACGGAAGAACAAUAGCAAACUCAGGCUGUGGCAUAUUGCUUCCAUAAUGUUUGUUUCCAUUGGCAAUGUUUACUAGAAUUCUAGUGGAUUCUUGGACUUCAACUAGCUGUUGGAGUUCUUGGGCCUUUGGAAUUACAUGAUCCUUCAUGUGUGCCUAGUCAGGCAUCUUCCACAGACUAUCAAACAGAGCUUCAUAGUUCUCUAUACUCUUACCAAAGUCUACCAAUGCAUCCCACUGACUAAGCUGAGUAGCACAAUAAAUCCAUUGCUCCUCACAAAGACAUCCCAAUACAGGCAACCAACUCCAAACAUGAUACCCACACUAGAUAUAUCAGAGACAAAAGACACAGUGAAGGAAAACAGAGCAUGUGAAAGAAGUAACACGAUUAAAUCUGUCUUUCCUCCAUGAAAAUCAAAGAGAGUUAAGAACUGGUGGGAAGUUUUUGAGUCACUUUAACACAAAUAAAUAGUAUAAUCACAAUGCAACCCAUAUAGAGAGAAGAAAGAAAAACAAACAGAGACUAAGCAAAUGGAAGCUGGGAAACAGGUUUAACAUAUUAGACAGCCAAAAUACACAUCCAAAUAUCAGGAAGAAAAAUGGAAAGACUGAAAUAAUGGAGAACUCAAGGUGUAAAAACAGCUAAACCUGAGCGAUCCUUUCGAUCAAAAGUCGUUUGAUUCUCAGCAAGCCGCAACCUUUUUCCUCUGUUCCUUGCUUCUUCUGUGAAAGCUCUCUCUUCUCUCUCAAGUCACUCUCUGUUUCCUUCCCUGGACGUCUUGCCCUCCGAAUCACCUAAAGAUAUCUCUCUAAAACCCAGCAAAAACCAUCCCUCCUCUCUCACAGUUUUCUCUCUAAAAAGAAACCCCCCUUCAAAAAUCUCCAGCUAAAAAAACUCUACUCCCUCAAACUCACCCUCUCUGUCGUCGCCUUCUCCAGAAACAUGCUCUGUUUUCUCUCGCUUCACUCCCUCACCCCCUUCAGCCUUCUCUCCAAAAAGAAAAUCUCGAACGGCCUCCUCACCAAAAGACCUCACUGCCCUCACCUGCAGCCUCCACUACGCCACUAAUAACAGAAGACGCUCCUCAAGACAACGGCCUGCAGAUCCCCAUGCCACCUGUCAACCUUCCAUUGGCAUUUCAAAAGCACCAUAUGAUUCUGCACUGUCCUCUCAAAAGAAGACACGUGGUUGAGCAAGGCUCUUCCACGUGGCAAAAUGAGCAGCUGCAUGAAAGGCCCCAAAUGAGGGUCUACAGAUAUGUUAUAAUAUGCCACUUGUUAUCUGAUGGUUAGGGAGAGAAGAGCUUUGAUUUUUCAAAGAGUGCAUUUCUUGUGUGUAAUCCUGAGAAGAGAAAAUGUGUCUGGAAAAUCAUAUUGAAAAUACAGUGCGAAAUGUAAUAAAUUUUUUGGCUUGAUAAAGAGAAGCUUUCUUGAACAAGAUCUACAAAAGAAAAACUGAUCUGGAAGACCAGAAAUUGCAAUAAGCGGUAAUAGAGAGUUCAAAAAGUUCAAUAUUGAAAAGUUCUCUGGAAAAAGCUGACUUGGGUCCUUGGAGAGUCAAGAUGAAAGUACUCCUGGUUCAGCAAGUUCGGUUCAACAAGGUCUUUAAGAUGCCUUGAAAGGUGAAAAAAGAUCUACCAAAAACCUUAUCAGAAAAGAAGAAAAAUGACAUUCUUGAAAAGGCACAACGUGCCAUUAUCCUGAGUCUUGGAGAUAAGGCCCUUAAAGAAGUGUCAAGAGAAACAUCUGCAGCUGCUAUAUGGUUGAAGUUGGAGAAGCUAUACAUGACGAAAUCACUGGCUAAUAGACUCUAUUUGAAACAGAGGCUUUACUCUUUUAAGAUGGCAGAGGGAAAAUCCAUUGAAGACUAAAUGGAGAGUUUAACAAGAUUAUUAAUGAUCUUGAAAAUGUAAAUGUCAAUAUGGAAGACAAAGAUCAGGCAAUAAUACUUUUGAUUGCUUUACCAAAGUCAUACAAACGUUUUGUUGAUGCAAUGUUGCAUGAUUUUAAAAAUCGGACCGGACGAUCUGGUCAGACCGCAGACUGGUCACCAUUCCAGUCUGGUUCGACGAAUUGGACCAGGGAAGUGAUCGAAUUGACGAUCCCACUGGCGACUUGACGGUCCAAUCGGUGAACCGGACGAACCGUUCGGUUCAAUCUAUUUUUUUUCUUUCCUCCCAGCAUCCGUGUAGCUAUUCCCAUUGUCGUCGGCCACUGGAGCGUCGUCCCAGUGGCAGCACGCGCUGGAAACCACCUCCCGUCCCCUCCAACAUCCCCCACCCCCCACCAUCACGCGCGCUGAAAAGCCCUCCCCCCCCAAAACGCUGCAAAGCCCCGUCGCCGGCCACUCCGUCGUCCCGCCAGUAGCAGCACCCACCCACCCCCCGCCCCGCCCCUUCUCUCCUCUCUCAAAAGUCAAAAAUUUAAAACAGAGAGAAAUCAAACCCCUUUGGUGGAGGUGUGGCGGUGCUUUCCGGGUUUCUUGAUUCCAUUCUUGUGGGCUUUGUAGGACUGGUAUGCAAAGGUUGUACCGAAGUGGAAGAAGAACGAAGUUGUCACAGCUAUUAGGGUUAAGGUUAGGGUUUUGACUCAAAACACAGUGCCCUCUCACCUUCCUUCCAUUUUUGUUUUUUAAAUUUAAUUUUUAUGUUUUAUAUUUAAUAUCUUAAUAUUUAAUUUCUUCCAUUUUUGUUUUUUUGAAUUUAUUUUUUAUGUUUUAUAUUUAAUAUCUUAAUUUUUUUUGUUGAUUAUAAUUAUAAUGAUAGGUUUAAUAUUUAAAAUUUUUAUUUUUUUUAUAUUUAUUGUAUAUUGAAAUUUUAAUUUAUUGAAAUUAUUGAAAAUAUUGGGUUAAUUGACAUUUAUUGAUAAAAAGACCUUUAUGAAAAAACUCAAUAGAUAUUAUUAAAAUUUAGAUAGAAUUUAUUAUUUUUAUUUAAUAAUUUUUAAAAUUUUAAUAAUAUAAAAAAUAUAUAUUUAUGAUAUCACUAAUAGUCUUUCUUACCAGUGAACCGUGAAUCGAUAAUUUUUUCAGUUCAAUGAUCGGUCCGAUUCUAAAAACAUUACAAUGUUAUAUGGGAGAGAGCAAUCUCUAACAUUGGAGGAGGUUCAGGCGGCACUAAAAUUGAAAGAGUCCAAGAAGUUCCAAGUAAUAGAAUAAUCAAAUGAAGAAGGCUUUGUUGCUCGAGGAAGACCAGAAAAAUGAGACAAUAAGGGAAAAGGUAGAAAUAAAUCAAAAUCCAAGUUUAAACUGCGUUGCUACCAUUGUCAAAAGGAAAGCCAUUUAAGAAGAGAUUGCCCUGAAAGAAAACAAAAGCAAACAGACAAAUCAGAAGAACCGGAGGAUGCAACAGCUGCUACAGAUGGCAAUGAAUCAGCAUAGGGGCUUUCCAUGACUGAAAAAGAAUCCAAUAAAGAAUGAAUCUUGGACUCAGGAUGUUCCUUCGACAUGUGUCCAAAUAAGUCCUGGUUUGAAGUAUAUAAAUAGUGAUGAACGUAUGGUUUUGUUGGGUAACAACAAGGCAUGCAGGGUUGCUGAUAUAGGGUCAAUCAGAAUUAAGAUGCAUGAUGGUUUGGAAAGGGUGUUGCAACAAGUGAGGUAUGUGCUUGAACUCAAAAGGAACCUCAUUUUGGGUAUGUUAGAUCAGAUUGGUUGCUCAUUCAAAGCUUAAAAUGGUUGCUUGAAAGUUUUAAAAGGGAUCUAUGGCUAUUAUGAAAGGGGUAAGAAUAAGCAGCAUAUAUGUUCUCAUUGGAAAAGCAGUCAUUGGUGAAGUUGCUAUGCUGAAAAUCAGACAGUUGAUAAGACUAAGUUAUGGCACAUGAGAUUAGGCCAUGUCAGUGAGAAGGGUUUAUAAGAAUUGGGAAAACAGAAUUUACUAGUUGGAGAUAAGAUUUAUUCACUAGGAUUCAGUGAGCAAUGUGUUGGGAAAGGCCAAGAGAGUUAAAUUUGGCACUGGAACACACCAAACAAAGGAAAUUCUGGAAUAUAUCCAUUCAGAUUUGUGGGGGCCAUCUAAAAUCCCUACUCAUGCAAAUGGCAGAUAUUUUAUAUCGAUUAUUGAUGACUUCUCACGAAGAGUGUGGGUUUACAUACUGAAGAGUAAGGAUGAAGCCUUCUUAAAGUUUAAAGAAUGGAAGACAUUGGUAGAGAAUCAAACUGGAAAAAGGAUAAAGAGACUCAACAGACAAUGGGCUAGAGUAUUUUUCUGAAGAGUUUAACAAGAUGUGCUCACAAAAUGGUAUUGCAAGGCACAAAACAGUAAAAAAUAGCCCACAGCUGAAUGGGUUGGCAGAACGCAUGAAUUGAACCCUUCUAGAAAGAGUCAGAUGUAUGUUGUUGAAUGGUGGACUACCAAAAACAUUAUGGGAGAAGCUGUUUCUACAGCAUGUUUUCUGAUUAAUAAAUGUCCUUCAACAGCCAUUAACAUGAAAACACCUAUGGAGAAGUGGUCAGAUAAGCCUGCAGAUUAUAAUGGCCUAAAGGUGUUUGGGUGUUUGGCAUAUGCACACAUUAAACAGGAUAAAUUGCAACCUAGAGCACUCAAGGUGUAUUUUUAUAGGGUAUCCAGAAAGGGUAAAAGGAUAUAAAAUGUGAUGUUUGGAGACUGGCCAUAAGAAAUGUUUCAUAAGCAGAGUGUGAUCCCGCAUUUUCACAUGCGUUCUCACUCGAUAGCGAGACUCAUUUUUUAUUUGUGAAAAAUCAAUUUUAUAAAUAACGGAGUUGCCAAUUAUUUUUAUUUUAUUUUUUUAAAAGGGCAAACAAAAUAAGAAAUAAAAACCCUAAAAAAAUGACUCUUCUUUCUUUAGAAAGACCUGUCUUUGAAAACCAGAGUUUAAGUCCGAGGAUCAAGUUACUUAUUGGAAAGGUACAGUAAAAAACUCUAACACCCCUCUGAGCCUUAAAAGCUAGGUCUCUACUAAGUAAGUUAAGAUAUCUAUGAUAAUUAAUUGGUUAAUUAAUGGAUACUGAGAAAUAAGAAUCUUAAUAAUAAUAAUAAAAAUAAUAAAGGAGUUAGCGAGAUAGAUUCAAGGUGUACCUUAGAUGCAAGAUGAAUGCUAUCAUGAGAGACAAGGUCAAUGCACAAUGACAAGUGCAAAAUAUCCCACAUAAAAUUGGCCAAAAUCAAGCACUAUGAAUCAUGCACUUUACUUGAUUAUUUUUUAAAAAAAUAUUACAAAUGUUCCACCCCUCACCAAGGCCUAAUUUAAUUUUGCAUGAAUUAAUUCUAUGAAUUCCAUUAUUUGAAACCAUAAGUUUAUUCAUGUUUAUUGAAAUCGAGAAAAUCAAGAAAAUAAUUAAAAAAAGAAAAAAGAAAAUUAGGAAGAUGCAUGCCCGCAAGUGUUUAUUAAAAAUCAGGAUUUUGAUGCCUAAAAGCUCCUAAGAAUGGAAUUUUAAAGAAAAACUAGAGUUAUUUAAUGAAAAAGAUUUCCAAAUCCAAAUUUAAAAAGUGUAAGAUCACAAGGAAACGAAAAACAUCAGGAGGAGGAUGAUGCGCAUCAAGGUAACCAUGCGGGAAUGGAACUUGGAAAUUCUGGAUAAAAGAACCCAAUUCACUGGAAAAGUGUUCAGCUAUCAAAUAUGCUUCAAUUUAUAAGGAAACUUGAUUUGUAAGCUCAAUUGGAUUCUCCCCGUCGGUGGUCAAACACUAAACAAAAGGUACAAAAUCCCCAAUUUUCUACACUGACAGAUUUCUUGCAUUAUGUGUUAAUUUCUCACCACCAAGGUUUGAUUCAAUGGCUCCACUAGAAUAUGUACCCUUGUCAUUGCCAUCACUAAGCAGACUUCUCAUUUUUACUUUUAAUCCAUAAUGGAACUGAAUCUAUAAACGAAUGAUUUCCAUUAGUCAAGAUGGGCUAACAACGGUGCAGAGAAGGAACUGCUCGUUUCAUCUUGAGGGCAUGUAGUGCUCAAUUGAUCAACUGAAACAGUACUACAUAAGCUUUGCGACAUUUCUUCUUUGGAAGUCAAUGCAAUAUUUCCUAACAGAGAAGCUCUCCGAAAUAGAAGCAAUUGGUUUAACAUAACAUUUGUAGCUCUGUCCAACCCUAUUUCGCCACCAAGCCCAAAUGACCUUAAAUUUCUGCACAAUAUCUUCAGUAUUCUGCCCAUCUGCUUUUUCUUGGAAAGCCCGUCAGAGAUGCUUUUCUUCCAAUCUCUUAAUAUCUUCACUGAUUUCUUCUUCCUUCAUCUAUGCUUUGUCUAGCACCAAUUCUGGAAAGAUUCCAAUGCUCUGAAUUUCCAGCAGAAGUUUCUCGCUUAAAGACGUGCCUUUGUACCGAAUUCUGAAUAGGCGAUGCUAGGCAUUAAAUCCUGGUCUAGACGAAUAUCAUUAAAACUGUCAUGAUCAGAGAAGAGAUCUUUAAAUUUCUCAGCAAAAAUCAGCUUGGAAUUCCACUUGUUAGUCCACCAUAAGAACUAACAGAUUUCAAAAGAUUGCCACCUAGCUCUCCAGCUAAAGUUCUACCUUGACUCGCAGCCACUAAUCACCCUCCCAAGAAUUAGGUUCUGAGCAUAUUCACUUCUCUCCUAAAACAUGUAUGGAUUGUCAUGCUGGUAAAGAUAAAGUUCGCAAUAGUCCUUGCGGAGGUCUUGCUAUUGUGGAGGUUGGUUUGGACUCUUCUGUGGUUUCUGUUAUUUUAGAUUAAGGCCAUUAUAUCCUCUUUGCACAGGAAAAAUCAUCAUUGAAUGUUUCGCUUUAUCUUUAAUCACGAUCUGCCUCCUCAAAUUCUAGGAUCAAAGCACCUGCAUAAUUAUUCUGAGUUAUGCCUCUGCUGGAAGAUGGACAAGACUGCCUCUUAACUUCACCUCAAAUAACUGGAAUUUCUUAACCUUUACAAUUUGGAUGACAAGUUGGCUCUAAAGAGAGCUAAUUUCUAAUCAGACUGCACAGUAUUCGAAUCACGGUUUUUACUUUAAGAAGUGAAACAGAUUCACCAUGAGAUGCAAGUCUUUGAUCCAGCUUUAGUGCAGAAUUUGUAGAACCAGCCAUUGUCGAACUACUGAGUAUACAUUCUGAUACAAAUAAAAUCCUUUCUAUCAAAUGAGUUUCGUUCCAUCGCCUACUGUAAUCCUUUUUAAUUUUGAACAUGAGAGAAGAAGGAGAGCAUUUUAACUUUUGUUUCGAUUAUCCCAUUUCCAAUAGCAUUUGCCUCAACUUUUGGAGAAAAGCUUCGUCAUUUGGUCUGGCCAUUUGCAAUGCCUUCGGACAAUUCUUACAGCCUGCAUCAUCUUGAUCACUUGGUUUGCAGCAAAAACAGUUUGUUUCUAUGAGAGGAGCAAUUAUUGUUUCUGCGUUCAGUGUAUAGGUGGAUGCCUGAAACUCCAUUUUUUCAUCAAAAACUAAGUCUUCAUCAUAGGAUGAGUGCUAUUGAAGCAUUAGAAUUCAUCCAAUUAAAAUAUUUGAGCAUUCCAGAACCACUUGGCAGAGUACCUUCCAACUACAUGGGAAACAAAGGUGAAAUGCUUGGCUGGAUUCACGGCAAUGUAGUCCUCCUGUAAUGCAGCGAUUUCAAUGUACCUCUGACCGAUUUCAAAAGCAUUCUACUCUUCUUUGGGAUCUGCAGUCUGACUAACCCCAACAAAAAUUUCAGCACGUGUAUCAAGUGUCCAGACACCCUCAGCCAACAGAUCAUUUUGAUUAAAGUUGUAAGUUUCAUCAACCUCAAAUUUCCUUUUGCACCGAAUUCAGAGUUCAUCAUCUUCGUGAGUUUCCUCUAGGUGGGAAAACAACCACUCCAUUCCCAACUCCAUGCUGUUUACUCCAACUUACUACAGAGCCUCUUCUACUCUAAAUUUUGGAAAACCCAUCUCUAGAAUUAUUGAAAUAGCUGUCUCAUUUGGAGGGGGACCAGUUAAUCAAGCGCCUGCCUUGCUUUUGUCAUUUUUCACUUCAACUCCAGAAUAGAUGAGCCAAAUAACAGAAAUGAUUUUUGUAAUGAGAUCAUAACUACAAUCAGUAAAUUGUGGAUUCGUCCAAACUGGAAACACACCUUCAGCAUCACGAACUGGAGGGCCUUUACAAAUGUCCCAGCAUCCCUAGGAAAAGGAAUAUCACCAAUGAUCAGGGGUUGGGCAGGCAGUGCUUUGUAAAUGGAGAUAAAACAGAUGAUGAUGUCACUAGAUGGCCCAUUAGUUUUCCAUAGCUAGGUAAGAGACUGUAAACCUAUGAAUGAUCAAUUUCAUCCUUUCCAUCCGGCUUUGAAUUCCCAUCAUCAGUCUCCAUAGGUGGAGCAGGAGCCUUGUCAACCGUAAAAAGUAGUUGACUGGCAGCUACAAGUGUAGUCAAAACUAAUUGAACCAUCCCAUGUCCAUACAAGCAAUUCACCAGAACUCGAUUAUAGGAGUCUGGCCGGUCCAAUAGAAUGCCAUCAAUGAAAUCAGUAACUUUGCCAAAGUAGAGACAUUCUGUCGAUAUGGAUCCUAUGGUCCAGAUGGAUUUGCAGAACCCCCAAAAUUUAUGUGGUCCAGAGCAAAAAUGGAGACCUCAUAUUUUGAAGAAGGUGACACAUUCAGAGUAUCAUCACAUCAUCGAGGGAGCAGCAUGGCCUUUCCUGACUCUCGAAACAAAUGGGCAAUACGAAAAGAGAGCGAUCUGACCACAUCACAGCAUGAAAAAUAACACGAUCUCUGCUUUUUAUCUUCCUUUUUACUAAUGACUCCAGUAGAAACAGAAGAACCCGAAUGACGCAAUUGAUGACCAUCUGGAUCACCAUGAUAACAGGUGAAUAAUGAAAAAACAUGACCACCUCAAUGUCCAUGUGAAUUUAUUUGUUGAUAAGUUGUGCUUAUUCUUGUUUGCCAUUGUUUCUUUGAUUAGUAGCUUCUGAUUUUUAUGCUGAGCAGUUUCAAAUGCUUUCAAAUGAGCUUCACUAGCAGGAACAUGGUAGUUGACUAUUGACAUCACAUCCCUGCCACUAACUUUUUGAGUUAGUAAAUAUGAAUUCUAUUGCAACUGACUUUCCAACCAAUCUUGGAAAGUCUUUGGAUUCCAUUAGCUUCAGGAAUUAUAGCGAGUCAUGUUUUUGGUAAGCCCAAUACCACAUCUUCUCCAUAAAUCUGAAGAUCACAUAACAGAGCCAUUUCUAUCCUAUCACCCAAUGCUACUCCUUCAACUGUCACUGAAGGAAUCCCUACACUUUCAAUGGUCAAAAAGCCAUAUAAAACUACAACUGCACACCCAAGCUUCAUGGCCUUCAUGUUCUGAUAUAGUGCACUGAAAUAUAAUAAUUUCUUAUCUGAACUUAAAUGAUCUCCGAAGAAUGCUUCUCAAUUCUGAAAGAUUCACCAGUCAUAUACUAUCUGUUAUUACCGAACUCAAUUUGAGCUCCAUUUACACAUCUCUUGUUCUUCUUUCCCCUCAAGCUGCCUUACUUUUGAAGAUUCAAGUAAUCAUCAGAUGCAUUGGAACUCUUACCAAAACCAAAGCUCCUCUGGGAACCUUUACUAUUUACAGGUGUUCCAAUAUUUGGACUCCUUGUCAACAUCGAUUCUUUCUUUCUCAUACACUUCAUCGAUGUAUUUCCAAUUCAUCAACAACUUCAAACAGAUUAGAAAGAGAAAGAUUCUAGUGCACUACGACGGCAGGGCCUCCCAUAUGGCCAAUAAUAAUGUCGAAUGAUACCCUAGUGAGCCAACUGAUUUUUUUCAGCUUAGUUGUGGCUUAAAACUCAGUCUGGAGCAAUGUUUUGCUGACCUCACAAUCUGAGUCAUAAUGGUAACCUGCAGGUCUCUAAUCACACGGGAAUGCAGUGGUUUACCUGGCUCUAGAAAUGAAGGAUCCCAGCAAAACCACAAAAGGAUCGUAUAUACAGUAGAAACAAAAAGAAAAAUGUCCCAAAACAGAGCAUGACCAAAAUAACAAAUAAAUAAACGAACCAUUAAACAGAAACCCACUUCAUGCUGAAUUCAAUGGGUUCAAAGAUGAGUGGUACAACUGAAAGAUUCAAAGCAAAUACUAAGAUAAAAUCAUCAAAGAACUCUCAAUAUGAAAGUGGAACAUGUUCAAAUCAAUUCUCAAAUGAAAUCCCAAGAGCAUGAUAUAAAAGAAAACGAUUUCAAAUUCAACAUCAGUCCAUAAUCAACAGAACUCAUAAAUGGAAAUGAACAUAGGAGUUAUAGUAAUCAUACCUGAGAACAUCUCUCUUCUUCUCCAAAGACCGGUAAGUUCUCUUUCUCCAAAGCCAAAGAACUAGCUGAAAUCCUCCUCCUCUCCUCUAUUAUCUUCUCUCUUCCCUUGCCUUUUAUAGCCUGCUACGAAUCUCAAAAUGUCACGCCCCAAGACCCACUCCAAGGGCGUGAUGGUCAUUUUACACCUCAAACCCGAAGGCUUAAAGUGUAACCUGACCCAAAUAAAUAUAUUGUAACUGGAAGUAACCAAUUACCAAAUACCUAUUUAGAGUAGCGGAACAAAAUUAUAAAAUCUUCAAACUUAACUUUAAAACUAAGCAUCCAUCAACCAAAAUCCAUUAUCUAAAUAGAUUGCGAACUCAACAAAUCAAGUGCUAACAAAUCUUCAUAAUCUCUAAAUCUCAACUUCAAACUAUCAUAAAUAAAAAAAAUAUUUAAAAGUUCAAUAUCUAAAUAGCUUCCAAAAACCAAAUAAUCCAAAUGAACAUAAACUUAUAAGCUACCAAUGUUCAAAAAUAACAUCCUAAGAAAAAUCCUAAUGAUGACCAUUUCCCGACCUAGCCAUCACUUCUUGCCCAAACUAAGGGUACCUGAAAAAUUAUCAACAAGGAGAAUGAGCUCAAAGCCCAAUAAGGAAUAUUAAUGUCGUCCAUGGAUCAAAUAUUUUAAGUUCACUUACAAAAUAGGAGAUAUUAUAACUAAUUAUUUUCAUAAACCUUUGAGUCAAUUUUGUCAAUACAUUCAAAACUUUUAACUGUACACUUUCAUUUCUGAUUCAAACAUUUUCAUAUCAAAUCCAAUCAAAACGUUCAAAUUAUUUAUUUACUCUGGUCAUCAAACAUCAAAUGGUGCCCAGUUAGGUGGGACAUUUCAAAUAGGUGGCUAGCCUCAAAUUGUUCCUUUAAGGUGGACGGAACCAAACACUACUAGUACUAGUAACCUCUAAUCAAACCCCUAGAGGCUGAAGUCAAAAUCAAUUACAUUCCUCACUAAGAAAUGUAAAGGUCAACUAUUAUAUCCCGUUGACAAAGGCCAAAAAGUCAAAAGUCAACUAUUUUAUCCCGUUGACAAGGGCCAAAUAAACAAGAGUCAAACAUUUAUUUCAAUUAUUCAAAUUUGCAAAACAUAAUAUCUCCACAUGUCUCUAUUAUAAACAAAAUGUAAGGUUCUAACAUACUUUUCAUGCAAAACAUAUUUGAUCCAUGUAUAAAACGAAUAAUAACUCAAAAUAUUUCCAAAUGAUGUAUAUAAAAAUUUGUUUCUAAAAAAAAAAAAAAAAAAAAAACAACUGCAUUAAUUUCCCUUACCUCAAAAGAAAUUCUUGAAGGCUUGGGAGAAAAAUAAUUCUAGAAAAAAAAAAUUACUCUCCACCUAAUAUAACAUAAGAGAAACAAUUAUUACUAUUUAUCUAUAAUUUAACUAAUCUAUUCCUUGUUUAAAUAAAACUAAUAAAUUCCCAAUUUGUUUCUAAUAACACAUUACUAAUUUAAUUAAAUUACAAUUUUAUUUCAUUAUAAAAUUCUAUAUAUAUUUUGCUAAAUCUCCCAUUCUAUUUAUUACAAUAAACCAUUAUUACUAUUAUCUUAUUUAUUAAUCUAAAACUAAAUAUUAUUAUUUGAUUAAUUGACCAACUCAAAAGCCACCCAAACCAUUACCCACUUGUCUCAGGUAUACCAAACCAAUAAAACAAAGCAAUAUUUUUUUUUUCAUUGCCAUCAUCAUUAUUAUGAUGAUUCAUUAUAUAUAUAUAUAUAUAUAUAUAUAUAUAUAUAUAUAUAUAUAUAUAUAUAUAUAUAUAUAUAUAUAUAAAAGCCUUCAUUCCAUCUGGGCACACGCUCUUUUUUUUUUUUUCAUUCCGGUGUGCAUACACGUGUUUUUUUUGCUUUUUUUUUAUAACAUUUUCUAGUCCCUUCAACCACAAAUAACAAUAUAUUUAUUUACUUUUUUUUUUAUUUAUAAAAAUUAGCCCUAACCUAAAAUCGAAACCUUCCAAGGAACCUUUUUUUUUUCAUAAAAAAAACUUAAAAUCUCCCAAAUUCCACCAAUAAAUCAAAAUCUUAAAUUUUAUUAUUAUUAUUUUGAUAUUAAAAUGAAUUAAAAAAAAUAAGUAAACUAACCCUAAUCUAGAUUUGGGUUUUCCAAAAGAUAUAUAAUGUGUUUGAAAUUAACCAAUAAAUCUAAAAUAUUAAACUAGGGGUUAGAAUCUUACCUAGAGAGAUUUGUUCUUCAACCUUGAAAUGUGACUCCAACCUUACGUUCUUUGGAAUUCUGCGAACAGGAACUCUAUUCAGAAAAGAAUAGGAAGAAUAUAAUUUCUAAUUUAUACCUAGGGUAUUUAUUCGUAAAAUUACAUUUUUACCCCUCUUUCAUUUUAUUAAAUUAAUUAAUUAGCUAAUUUAAUUAUCAUUAAUAAUUUCCUAAAUUACCCUUAAAAAAAAACUUGGGCGUUACACAAAAACUCCCCAUUUUCUUCUUCAAAACCUUCUCUGUAGCUUCUCAAAAAUCUGCUCUCUCCGUCUAAUCCCCUCUCUAAACCCAGCUCUUUCCUCCUGCAACUCUCUCUCUUUCUCUCUUAUUUUUCUCCAGAAAUCCAGAAGAAAAAAAAUGUUCUUCUCUAGAUUUCCCCAAAAAACCCCUCUGUCUUUCUCCGUCUUUCUCUCUUUCUCUAUUUCUUUUUCCAUUUCUUUCUUUUCCUUCCAAAAAAGUUCCUUAAAAGAUGAAAACUGAAAAACCCUUUCUUGAAAAAUCUUGUCGUGAUUCCAAACUGAAGCCCCUCUUCUCUCCAAUGCUAUCCACGUGAUCUCUUCACCCUUAGCUGACUAAUCUCCAGAAUCCUCCAAAUAUAACUAUCACGUCACCUCUUUCAAAAUGCACACUUCUCUGACUCUCAUCUCUUCUCUGCCCAUCUCCACAUGAUUUCCAUGUCAUACUCCGGAUUGUAUUCUAUGAUUAUACAAGAAUUGAAUGCUGAAUCACAUGAGAAAAUAUGUCACAAAUCUCUAUAGAAAUGGUAAUAACCUGAAUCCAUUUGCGCGUUUGAUGAAGAUGGUAUGGAUCUUCUACGAGCAAUGGAGGACACCAUCUCUUACACUGUAUUCUCUCAAGCAAUGGGAGUAGGAGAGAGAGCGGUUGUUUUCUACUAUUCAAAGAUGUGAUGAUUGUGAAAAGACACAAGCCUCAGCCCUUUUAUACCCUCCUGCCUUAGGGACCAUACCCAUUGAUUAUUGGGCCUCACGGGCCUUAGGCCCAUCAUCUAAAGCCCGUGAUGACAUUAGGCUCUACACAUUAGGUGGCCCAUACUCAAGAUUAAAAUCAGAAAUUAUAUGUUAACAGAUAGCUUAAUCCUGAACAAUGUUUAAUAUAAUGUCGGUCCACAUUUAUUCUAUCAAUCUCUCACUUGGACCACAUAUAUAUUACAAACAAUGUUUAUGAUAAUACUUUAUUGAGCUCAUCUUUGCUAUCUUAUCAAAAUAUCCUUAAACAAUUCGGUCUACUAAUUAUGCUAACAUAGGAUUAAAGCGGUCUUCGUUAAUCAUAAUUAUAACUUGACCUAUAAUCAAUCACAACAUUAACAAAAUUAGCAACAUGUAUCAAGUAUGGAUGUGUAGCAUGGAAAUUAUAUAAAAUAUGAUCUUUAAUAUGUCUAUUUCCAAUUGGUCCUACUUUAUGACUAAAAGAUAGUCAAAUACCACUUUCAACACUUGAUGUUAAACUGCUUCUAAAAGUCAUCAUUUCAAUUCAGAGAAUUCAAAUACAAUAGUCUUUAAAAUCGAGAUUUGUACAGAUAACACAACAUAAUAUCACAUCAAGAAAAUAAACACAAAAUCUGAAUACAAACUCCCACUAUACUGGCACAUCAUCAAUGUGUACAACACCCAUAUGUGUGACGUGCUCAUGAUAUACUUUGGGUGGCAAACCCUUAGUGAGCGGAUCCGAAAUCAUGGAGUUUAUGCUUAUGUGUUCAAUCGAUACUUGAAGACUCUGAACUCUUUCUUUCACAACCAAGAACUUGAUGUCAAUGCGUUUGGACUUUGACGAACUUUGGUUGUUCUUAGAAUAUAAUUCUGCGGCCUUAUUAUCACAGUUGAUUCUCAAUGGUUUCUCAAUCCCAUCAACGAUUCGUAACUGAGUGACAAAAUUCCACAACCAUAUCCCAUGGUUUGAUGCUUCGUAGCAGGUUAUGAAUUCUGCCUCCAUGGUGGAAGAAGCAAUAAGUGUUUGUUUAACACUUUUCCAUGAAACUGCUCCUCCAGCUAACAUGAAGAUGUAGCUUGAAGUGGAUCUCCUACUGUCAAGACAUCCUGCGAAAUCGGAGUCCGAAUAUCCCACGAUCUCUAAGUGACUUGAUCUAUGGUAUGUGAGCAUGUAAUCUUUAGUUCUUUGUAAAUGCCGCAUAACCCGUUUUGUUUUUUUCCAAUGAUCCAUACCUAGGUUACUUAAAUAUCUGCCUAACAUUCCAACAAUGUACGCAAUAUCCGGACGCGUACAAACUUGUGCAUACAUGAGACUUCCUACUGCCGAGGCAUAGGGAAAUCUCUCCAUAUAUUUUUUUCUCAAGUUCAUUUUUUGGACAUUGGUGCAAACUAAACUUAUCGCCUUUUGCUACAAGCUUGUCUCCUAGUGCACAAUUGCUCAUGCCAAAUCUACUCAACACCUUAUCGAUGUACCUUUUGUGAUAACCUAAGUAUACCUCUUGAACGAUCCCUAUGGAUCUGUAUACCCAACACAAAAGAUGCAUUACCAAGAUCCUUCAUGUCAAAUUUACUAGACAAAAAUCGCUUGGUUUCAUGCAAAAGUCCCACAUCACUACUUGCAAGUAGAAUAUCAUCAACAUAUAACACCAAGAUAAUGAAUUUGCUCCCACUGAACUUAAGGUAUAUGCAUUGAUCAACAGUGUUCUCUUUAAAACCAAAUGAAGUAAUCACCUAAUCAAACUUUCGGUACCAUUAUCGAGAUGCUUGCUUUAAACCAUAUAUGAACCUUUUUAAUCUGCAUACAAGUUGCUUUGAAUCAUUAGACUCAAAGUUCUCCGGUUGCACCAUGUAUAUUGUCUCAUCAAUGUUGCCAUUAAGAAACGUAGUUUUAACAUCCAUUUGAUGUAGCUCUAAAUCAUAAUGAGCUACAAGUGUCAUGAUGAUUCUAAAGGAGUCUUUUAAUGAAAUUGGUGAAAAAGUCUCCUUAUAAUCAAUGCCUUCAUUUUGAGUGAAACCUUUUGCAACUAGGCGUGCCUUAUACCUAACAAUGUUGCCUUUUGAAUACCACUUGGUUUUGAAAAUCCAUUUACAACUAAUUGGUUUUACACUUUUAAGCAACUCUACUAGGUCCCAAACACUAUUGUCUUUCAUUGAUUUCAUCUCAUCCUUCAUGGCUUCUAUCCACUUUUCAGAAUCAGAACUUUGUUUGACUUGACUUACUAAAAUUGGAUCGUCUUCCAGACCCAUGUCAAACUCAUGUUCUUGGAGAUAUACAACAUAAUCAUCUGAAAUUGUACUUCUCCUUUCUCUAGUGGAUCUCUUUAGUGGCACUUGUACUUGAGGUUCUUGAGGUUGUUGAGUUACCUCUUGAUGAACUUGAAUCGGUUCCAUAACUUGAGCAGGAGGAAUCUCAGGUGUGUCUUGAAUCCCUGUUAUCGACUGUACAUUCUGAAUAGUGUCAUCAAACAUAAUAUGACCAUGUCUAGUCGUAAUAAUAGGAAUAUUAACAGAUUCCUCUUCAAAGACCACUUUUCUUAAUGGCUCUCUCCCACUUAACUCAACAUCCUCAAUGAACUUAGUAUUGCCCGUUUAAAAAAAAAAUCUAGUUGAGGGAUCAUAAAAUUUGAAACCUCUCGACCUUUCAGAAUACCCUACAAAGUAGCAACUCACUGUUCUGGAGUCCAAUUUCUUUUCAUUUGGCUUGUAAGGCCUAGCUUCAGCUAGACAACCCCAGACAUGCAAGUACCUAAUACUAGGUUUCUUGCUAGUCCAUAACUCAUAUGGGGUUUGGGCUACUGCUUUGCUUGAUACUCUAUUCAAAAUAUAAACUACAGUUUUUAUGGCUUCGCCCCAAAGUGAUUCUGGUAAGGUGGAAUGAUUGAUCAUACAUCUUACCAUAUCCUUAAGAGUACGGUUUCACCUCUCUGCUACACCAUUUUGGCUCGGAGUCCCUAGGAUGGUGUACUGAAGAACGAUACCACACUCCAUCAAAUAUUUGGUGAAUGACCCUGGACGUUGUUCUCCGGAUCUGUCAUAUCUACCAUAAUAUUCAUCUCCACGGUUAGAUCUGACGACUUUUAUUUUCUUGCUUAGUUGGUUCUCAAAUUCAGCUUUGAAAUUCUUGGAUACAUCCAAUGAUUGAGACUUUUCAUGAAUCAAAUAAAGAUAGCCAUAACACGAGUAAUCGUCAAUGAAAGUGAUAAAAUAUUGUUGUCCAUUCUAAGAAGGGGUAGGAAAUGGACCACAAAUGUCUGUAUGUAUCAAUUCCAAGACGUCACUGCACUUAUUAGCAUUCUUUUUCUUCAUAUUUGUUUGUUUUCCUUUAACGCACUCUAUAUAGACUUGAAAGUCUGAGAAAUCAAGUGGAUCGAGAAUUCCUUUUGACACAAGUCUUUGUCUUCGUUGAUUUGAAAUAUGACCCAAACGCUUGUGCCAUAACAUUGAUGAAUUCUCAUUCAUUAAUUUUCGCUUAAUGCCAUAAUUACUUGAAUGCAAGGUUUCAUUUCCAUUAGUGGCCUUUAUGUUCAAUUUAUAUAGUUUGUCUGUUAGACUACCUGUACCAAUAAUAUUUGAAUUUAGAUAGAGACUAACCAUUUCAUUUCCAAAUGAACAACAAUAUCCAAAUUUGUCCAAACAUGAAACAUAAAUUAAAUUCCAUCUAAACGACGAUACUACAAAAGUCUCUUCCAAAUCCAAUGUACAUCUAGAGUCUAACUGUAAUCUGAAAAGACCAAUAGCCUUGAUUGCAGCCUUGUUGCCAUUUCUCACAUAGAUGUAUCUUUCACCAUCAGUUGGCAUUCGGUUCCUUAGGCAACCCUACAUAGUGACACUUAUGUGAGUAGUUGUACCCGUAUCUAUCCACCAAGUGUCUGUAGGCACUACAGCUAAAUUAAUUUCUAAACAAACAAAGUUGAGAAGUGUACCUUUUUUUUCACGCUAAGCAACGUAUUUGGUACAUGUCUUCUUCAUAUGACUAGCCUUCUUGCAAAAGAAACAAGUGAUCUCCUUAUCUUGUUUCUUCUACUCCUUUUGCAUUGAUGUCCCAGAAAUCGCAGUUUGUUUUCCUUUAUUGUCCUUCUUUCUUUUCUUGCUGGUACCAAAUCCUUGAGAUGUGGAAGCCAAGUGAGCACUUUCUAUCUUUUCUUGCUUCAAUCUCUCCUCAUCUUUCACACAUUGAGCAAUAAGCUCAUUCAAAGUCCAUUUUUCCUUUUGUGUAUUGUAACUGAUUUUGAAUGGGCUGAAUUGUGUAGGCAGAGAGAUCAAGACCAAGUGUACGAAUAUGUCUUCCAACAACUCUAACUUUUGUGCCUUGAGUCUUGUCACAAGAUUAGACAUUUCCAUAAUGCACUCCCUAAUAUUCUCUUUCCCUUUAUACCGUAUAGAGACAAGCUUAUUAAGAAUAGUGCUUGUCUCAACCUUUUCGUUUGCAGCGAAUCGGUUUAUUAUCUGGUCCAAGAAUGCCUUGGCUUGGGUUUCCUCAGGUAUUGCACCCCUUAUUGCUUCUGGAAUUGAGUGUUUCAUAAUCAGUAGACUCAUGCGAUUGGAUCGCUCCCAUUUUUCCAUAGUAGACCUUUGCCCAGCAGUGCUGGCACUAGUAAGAUCUGAAGGAUGAUCCUCCCUUAAUGCAAAGUCUAAAUCCAUGCACCCGAGCACAAUUAUAACUGUAGACCCUCAAUUUUGUCCCUUGAGCACAUAUCUUUAAAUUCACUUCCAGUGCUCUACGGUAGUUCCUUGGUGACCCAUUACUACUCGUACGACUUACCUUUUUCUGAGUCACCUCGGAGACUUUGGUUGAGGGAUUAUUUGAUCCCUUAUUGUGACCCCUGGCAGCCCUAACUUAGACUUAGGCUUUUCUUGUCUUUUUUUAGGAUAGCUUUUAGAUACACUUGGCCUUUAGGCACCGCUCUAGGCCCACUUAGGCACACUUGGCCCAUUUGGACAUUCUUAGCGUGACUUAUAUGACUUGCGUGUUUACAUGGCUCGUAGGGCCCAUUUUUUUGUUAAUUUGUUUAUUUUUAUUUUAUUUUCCUCUUUAUAUUAUUUUCCUUAACUUAUUUAUUUAUUUAUUAUUUUUACCAUUUUCUAAUUUAUUUACUUAUUCAUCUAUUAAUGCAAUUAUUUAACUUCUAAAAUUUCAUGUUUUUGCAAGGAAACUUACCAUUGGAGUUUAAGGAAGGUGGGACUCUCUUUGGAAGGUUUUGGAGGGGAAUUUGAAAUUGGGAAGAUUGCUUUUGAUUGGAAGAUUUAAAAAAAGAAGAGAAGAAGAAAGGAAAUAGGAGAUUUUUCCUUUUUGGGAAACAAAUUUAGGUCUUGAGGGGUGAGAUAUAUAGGUGAGGAAAAGGAAAAGGAGGGGCUUUUUGAUCGUGGGAAGAGAUUUUUCUUGGAGAAAAAGCACGCAUUGGAGGACGGGGGGGAGAGAGAUUCUUUGAUUAAGGGAGGAAAAGCACAGAAAAGCGAGAAAGGAGCAAUUGCAACCGAGUUUGUCCAGGUAUGCUUCUUGUUACUCUUGGAAUUCUUACUCAUAUUCGAUUUCUCUGUGUGUUCGUUCCUAAAUAUUUAAUAUACUGUUGAUUGGUGUGGACGGAAAGGGCCACAAAUUGUUUUGUUGAUAUUGGUUGCUUACUUAUUUUGUCCCGAAUCUGUUUAUGAUCUUCCCACUAGCCUGAACCCAUUGAAAGACCAUGAGAUGUGGUUUUAUCUAAUUUCCUCCCGCAUGUUCCUUCUCUCUUUGUUUUCUUUGUUUUCCACCACACUUGUUUUUUUUUUUUGGUUUUCCUUCUACUCGUCAUGUAGCCGUCAACUCUUCAUAUGGGGGUGACUCCAAGUGUUUGGGCAUACAGUCGUGAGAUUCAGCGAAGAGAUCGAACGCUUCAAAAUUCUGUUUGGACAUGCCAUUCUGUCGGUUCAUAUAAAAGAAAGCCAAUGACAGCUGCCACAUUUUCUGCCAAUGGUUAUGUUCUAUUGCUGUGGAAACUGUUAUCGCAAUAUGGGAUCCAGAGAAGAUUGUCCUAGUGGCUUGUCGGCUGCUUAUGCACUUGUUAAGCUUGGUUACGAUAAUGUAAAUUUGCGGGUUGAUAUGGGGGUUAGAGACGAGGCUUCUCGGAAUUCGAUCGUUUCAAAGUAUGUACACUGAGGGGAGGUUGAGGAGCGUGGAAAUUGUUUGAAGAAAUGCCAAUGAGAAGGAAUGUUGGUCUUCCAGUCUGCAAUGAUAAACAUGUAUGGGAAAGAAAGGAUUUUUGUGGAGAUGUUAAGUUUGUUUUCCGGAUGCUUGUUUCGGCUUAUGAGGUCCAGCUCAAUGCGGCAACAAUGAUAUGUAUUAAGUGCGGGAAUGAAGAGAAUAGCAGAUCUGUUGUUUGUGGAUAACCUGGUUGGAACAAAAUACAGCUUCGUGGAAGAUACAAAGCUAUUGGUGAAGACUGAUUUGACUAUAUUGUUGAAGGAGAUUUUCAACAAGGAAUGAGAGCCUCCAGCAGAGUCCUCUGUACACAGAAGCAGAGUCUUACAGAGGAAAAUUUGUUGUCACUCUUGGAUUGGCAGCUCUGGAAGCCACAGAAGCAGGAAACUUGAAGCUUAAACUUGGAGGAGUUGCAUCGGGAGAUAGUUGGAUCUCCCCAAAAGAUUGUGUUCUCGCGAGAUCCCCUUCUCAAAAAUGUCCCUUGAAGUUGUCUAUUGUGUGAUCCUUAUUGAUGAUGGGGAGUACAUCUUGUCGUUUGCUAUUGGUGAGAGAUACAUUGCAGUUUGGAGAAUUGAUGGUAGUAGUCAGCCAGUUGUGUUCUUGGCUAUUUUUUGAAUGGAGCACCCUGCUGACUUCCUAGAUAAGAGGUGUUGAUGGGGGCAACAGCUCUGAAGGGAGGGGCAGAGGUGUCUAGUAUGGGAUCACCAUUUAAGGAGAAAUUCGACCCUCAAAAAGCUAUGGCUCUCGGAUUGAAAGCUGGCCAAAAUACCGUGAAUUACAGUUUAUGAAAUCACUGUUCGGUUGAUCAAUUACACAAAGAGAGGAAAGGAAUUAUGGAACUUAUUCCACUCGCAGCCCAUGCGUGACCAAAAGGGUGAACUUCAAAUACUUCAUUGGUGUCCAAUUAGAUGGAAAUGACCGUGAGGAACCCCUCCGAAACCGCCUAUCAGAGCAAACCGAGCAAUAAAGUGCUAAGCUGGUCAAAGCUACUGCAGAAAACGUCGAUGAAGCUGUUCGGGAACAUCUUGAUGCUAACUCGGUAAGAGACCAGAAAAUUUGUGGACAAUCCACUCUCAACCCGCCUUCCCAAAGUCUCACAAAGAAGGAAUCAGAUUCUUCUAAAUCAUAUUCGAAUGGUGGAUGAGGCCCAGAAAAAUUAUCCUAUUCCGAGCCUUUGAAGGAGACUUUGGAUCCCCUUCAUGCGGUAUAUGAAAGCUUGAAAUUAGAUUAUCUUCGCAAAAAGGACUUGGUACUUCUGGUGGUUCUAUUAUGUAAUGUUGCUAAUUUUCUAGGAGAGAGAAGUUAUUUGGACCAUUAUGUUCAUGAUUUUCCUGGUAUUUCUAAGAAACUUGAGAUGUGUAAAGACUGUCUUUCCCAGACAACUCCUCCUCGUCUAUUCAGAUGGCUUGAACGCUGCUUGCAGUGAGGAUGUAAUUCUGCUAAUAUAAAUGACCUUUCACCUCUGAUUCAUAAAGAUGGCCAUUCAGUUAUUUGGGCCCGAGAGAUAGUUUCCCUCCAAAGUCUGUUAUCUGGUGCGAAACCAUUGGGGAGAAAACCUUCAUCUGGUGUUUAUGGUAACCUUGCUACAGGAGCAUCUUCCAGUCCUGAGGAGUUAACAGCCGUGGCAAUGGUUGGGGAAGAAUCUGGACUUCAACAGCUGGAUUUACUGCCUGCUGAUGUAUCCCUUCCUCUUCGGCAUGCAUUGGAUAAGUGUCGGGAAUCUCCUCCCACUGAUUGACCAGCAGCCGCAUAUGUUCUCGGACAGAGGAUUUGGCUUUGUCAUGUUUGGUUCAUUCACAUAAAUACAAGGAACUCGAGAUCCAAACCAACGCGAAUUUAAUUUCUAUGUCUAUCCUUUAUAAGCUACAUUUGCAUCCAAUCAUUAUUCCUUCUACAUCUUCUGAUACAAUUAGAUUGGACAAUACCAAGUUUAAGGAUACAGAUUCUGUUGAUGGAUCCAUGGCACAUGAGAUGGAAGCAGGGAUCUUCGCCAAGGUUCAUGCUGAGAGAAUAAUUUCAUCACUAAGACUCGGAAUCCCAUCUAGACCUCUCGUCAAAAGUUCUCCUCCUGUUUGAUUUCGCUUACCAUUAUAGUCAUCUGCAGUAUCGGAUUUCAUUCGAAUUCUUCGGACAAGUCCUUGCAUUCAGCCCAUGGAGAUGACAACCAGAAUUCCAAAGCGGCAGCAAUUAUGACCAGGAGGAUGCUUUAGUCACACCGUCUGCACAAUUAAAGAAAGAUCCAAUCCAGUUUUCAUACAAUUCAAAGUCUGAUGCUCACAGGAAUACAUCUUCUUUAUCUUCUACAAAAUUUGGACUCAGCAGCUUUGAUGAAGCCACACUUUCUAUUGAUGAUUCUGUAGACCAGAUUGCUGAGGUUCUCAACUCUUCUAGGACUUGGUGCGAUGACAUACAUAGGAGUAUUGGAUACGAUAAAUUUUGGAGUCAAAAUCUUCGAGGCCAAAGCCACUACGUUAGACGACGCUCAUCCAACCGCUAUGAAGACUUGAAAGCUUAUUGAAGGAGUUGCUUGAUCAGAAAAGUAUUAUGAAGCAGGUAUUACAUUUCAGAAUGGAGGGUUUAGGAAUCAUCUUGCAUAAGAUUCAGAAUACUGUCACAAUUAUUAAUGAGAAGGAAGUUGCUGUCAUCCAGUCGUAAGAUGAAAUUCCUUGUCUCUCCUAUCACUCAUGCUACAGUGCAAUCUAAGGUUGCAUUUGACCUUUCUGAAUCUGUUAAAAUUUUGAAGCAUUUAGCCAAGUCAGAUUCUGUAGUAAUAUAUAUUAUUGAAGAACCUAGGGAGAAUGACAUUGCCAAACGGAUCAGUGAAUGAAUGCCUUAAGGAGAAUAUUGAUACAAAAGUCGUUGAGGGUGACAUGUUUAUUGGGAAAUUAUUCCUGGAAUGAGAUGGCUCUCUCAAUCCAGAUUAAAGAGUAGAUGGACGUAGUAGUCUCAGUACCUCCAAUGGUGAUUCGGGCUCUUCAUUAAGUGAUUCAGAUCCAGGCACUUCUUCAGAUGGUGAAUCAGGAGGUGUUUUCCUCAAUUUUGGCAAUGGCCCUGCUGAAGAUAGUUAAUAUGGUCUUAUAACGAGGACUCCCUGCUCCAUAUAAGAGGAAGGUCUCGAUUUGAAGUAGAAGGAUGCAUGGUUCAAUCAGUGACUAAGAGAUACUUAGUUUUCGAAACGGCUAGGUCCAGACUUUGCAGCUGUCGAUAGAGAUAUUCUGGCCAGAAUUGCAUAUUCUAAAUUAUUUGAUUGGGUUGUGGGCAAGACAAUUUGUUCUCCUUAUGACAGAUAGAUUGCAUUCGAAAAUGGAUGAUCUUUUAUAGACUGUGAAUUCUGCCAUUGACCUCCAUAACAAGAUGAUUAAAAAUGUGUACCUGAUAUUAUAAUAGAAAUGAACUGGUCAGUCCCAGAGAUUGAAGGUAACUUAGCUGAGCAAAUUGAAGAUGCUGGAAACUGCAUUCUAGGGGAAGCGAGUAACUGUAAGAAGCUCAGGAUUCUAAAUUUAUCCUUUAACUCACUUACUGAUCUAUAAUCAGAUGGUCUCAUCGAGCUGCAUCAAGGCCAUUAGGAAAUGCAUUUCAAAUGUUGCUUUAAUGGCUAAGGUUUCUUCCUGCACAACUUCAAUUGGCUUUAUUGAAGCCGAGUUGAACGGACAGUAUCGUCCAGUUGAUGAGCCAGUUGCAAAGUCUCGGGCUGCCAUCCAAACUUCUGGCGAGGCUGUUUAUGCGGAUGGCAUCCCCUCUCCGACAAAUUGCCUACAUGGGGCUUUCAUUUAUGAGACAAAGCCUUUGGCUUGAGUAGACGAUACCAAACUUAACCCCCAAAUCAGUGGCAGCUGGAGUCAGUACACUUAUCUCUUUUAGAGAUAUCCCAAAAUCCCCUGCAGCUUUAAACCAAUAAAUGCAGAAUUGUCAAACCAGAAUAUUAAUAACCAAGCCAAUUCUGGAAAGCAUUGGCGUCCUCUUCAACACUAAGGCAGGCUAUAAAAUUUUGAAAAGCUUCUCGAAGUUGAUAUAGUAGAGCAAUGAAAGACGGAGGAGUUAAUGGCUCUACUUGACCCAAAGCUCCAGAUGACACAGAGGAGCCUAAACCAACCCAAUUGGAAGUUUUCUUCUCAAGCUGGCAAUCAUCCUUCAUACAGCUCGUCUAAAGAGGAAGCUGCUUCCAGGUUUCAGACCGAAUCUAUAUCCAGUUUAGGGAGGAUGUCGACAUCAAUUAUUAAACGAGAUAUGCAAUGAAAGAGGUAACAGAGGGGAUGGUGAUCUUUGUCAUGAUAAGGGUUUUGAAGGUCACGAUUCAUGCUCCAAAUGCUCAAAAAGUUAAAUUCGCAGAAUCAGGGAGAACAAAAAAUGUCUGAGCAAAUCUAAAUAGCAAAUAAGAAACCACAAGAGAAGCAAGAGGAUGGUGGAGCUUGGUAUCUUCUUGACAGCCACUCUUGAAAGUCUAAAAAUGCAGGAUACAUCAGAAAGUCUCUAACUUACUGCUCAUUUACCUUCAUCCAUGCGAAUAAGUUAUUGAAACCUAUUGGCUGAAGGUUAAUUUCUGAUCAUAGGCAAAUUGAUAUGCUUGAAGAAUGAAAAGUUAUUCGGGAAAUCGAACAUCAGAAUAUCAAUCAGGAUGCGAGUAUUCAGUUGAAGAAAUUUAACUACGAGCAAGUUGACAAUAGAAACAGAAUCUAGAUGUUAAUAUAAGAGAUUCUUUCUUCUAUACAUUUCCACACCAGAUGCGAACCCGGAAUUCAUCAAAGUUAUUACAUGUCGGAGUUAGGCUACCUGUCAGAAAUAUCCGUACCCAAUGAAACUUUGCAUGGGAUCCCAGAAUUUAAAUUCAGAAAUAUGGGGAAAGAAGAUAUUAAAAAAUGAAACAGUGGCUGGUACAAGAAUGUCUCAUUAGGAAUUGUUUAAAGUUGUAUUCCUGAAAUGCAGGCAUCCUUCUUCUGACCACAGAAGACCAAAAAGCUUCAGCUUCUACUCUCUCCUAUAUUAAAAUCAGUUGGCAAAAUGGUGGUUAUUUUGGUAGCGUCAACCAUGCUAAAAAUGCUUCAAUACUCCUCCCCCUUUAUUCCAACCCUGAACUAAGGAAAAUGAUGCAAAACCCAGAAUUUCAUUGCUUGCUAACUUCACCAGUGAAGACAAGAGCAUUAACAACAAUGAGCAACGAGGAGCUUAUAUGUUCAAGAAAAUGGCCCUGAGAAGUCAGAUAUGGAGAUUCCAGAAAUAAGGAGAAUUCAUAAGGAUGCAGCAAGCUGAAAAUAUUGAAAAGGCAGAAAAAGGCAACAGCAAGGGUAUGUAUUCUGGAGGAGCUGAUGAAUCAAGCCUUGAUGAUGAGAAAAUAGCACAGAAUGCAGGAAAUAUAGCAAUACAGAAAAGUAAGAAUUUUGAGCUUUAUGUUCAGUGUUUGACCAGCGUUGGGGAGAAUCCAUCUGAGCUUAUGAACCAAGUUAUCUUAUAAAUGGAAAUGCUUCUGAUCACUGAAUACUUUGGCAACGAAUUGGGUCUUUCUAUCCCGAACUCCACUCCAUCAGGCAACCUAAGUAACUCAGUCUCAAAAGCAGCCUAGACACUAAUCCAGCUUGGCCGCCUUGCCUCACAUCGUACUCCUCCUAUUGUUUCUUUUUUUUUUUUUUUUUAUGAUCUUAUACGUCUUAAAACCGGAUUUCAAAACCUUUUUCUAUCAAAAAUGAAUUUGGUUUUCUCUAAGGUUCCUUAGAAGCAUUUAGGUACAAAAUCCAGAUUUUAACAUGCAAUUUGCUGCCACUUUAUUUCGGAUAUGCACUUUCACUGUUUUCUUUGAUUUUUAACUAUUUUCUUGAUUUUUCUCGAUUUUUCUCGAUUUUCUCAAGCAUGAAUACACUUCAUGAUUCCAAACAAUGGAAUUCAUUGAAUCAACUCAUGCAAAAUUAAUUAGGGCUUUGGUGGGGGCCCGACAUUCAUGAUACCUUUUUCAAUAUUGUUUGCUUGAUAUGUUGAUUUUUUAUUCUUCUUGAUGAUAUACAUGAAUUCGUUUCGUAUUUAUCGUUGAGAUGCUUUUGAUUCCCAUAGAGGAGUACUAGCUUGCUAUCCAGAUACGCUCUCUUCUCAUCUAUUUUUUUUAGAACUCUAUGGACUUGUAUGCCAUUGAUGACUAUAUCCAUACAUGAUGUGAUUUUUGGAUGUCUUGAUAUAUGUCUGAUUUGCUUGAAUAAAACAAAUGUUGUGUGCUACAUUUCUACACUAACUUUUAUGUUUUAUGAUAGCGCUUGAAGAGUGGUUCAGGUACGCACCUUAACUUUCUUUUAUGGCAAUUUGAUCUUGUUUAGCAUGCAAAUCUUUUGAAAUCACCUAGCCUACUUAGGUAUCCAUAAUUAACCGAUUAAUUGUCAUAUUCCCCUUAACUUAGUGAGUAGAGACCUUUAUAGGGCUUAGAGGGGUGCUACCUUUCAAAGGUACCUUCCCAAUAGGUAACCUGAUCCCCGGACUUAGACUCGGGUUUUUCAAAGACACGCUUUUCCAAAAAUUAUGGAGUCAUUUUUUAGGGUUUUAUUUCUUGUUUUAUUUUCCCUUCAAAAAUAAAAUAAAAUAAGUGGCGGCUCCAACUUUUUUUCAAAAAUUAAUUUUUCACAAAUAAAAAGCGAGUCUCGCCAAUCGAGUGGGGACGCACGUGAAAAAUGCGGGUCCACAAUAACGUGCUCUUUCCAUUUCUUGAAAUUUGUGCCGUUAAGCAUAGGAAUGUUAUUAACAUUUGCAGAUAUAGAAGAUGCUGAAUUCAUAAUAAUAAAGCUCACAAUCAGUCACAUAAGCAUCAUACAUACAUGAAUAAAUAAACAUCACAUAAGAUACCUAGCACAAACAUUAAUAUUCAGUCUUUGGACAAAAAUAUUAACUUGUAAUUGACAUCCUUAUACAAAAUUAAUUCAUAAAUAUUGACAAUAAAAAACCGAAAACAAUAUGUCUGUCUUUGGACUAACAUAUCGAAUGCAAAAUAAACAUUAUAUGUCACAUAUUUAUGACUACUUUAUUUAUCAUUAUAUUAAAAUAAUCUUCCUUUGGGCCGAUUAUUUUAAAUAAUAAUAAUAACAUGUUUAGAUAUUGUAAAAUAAAUAAAUUAUAUAAUAUAAGUUACUUUGGCAACUGACAUACAUAAUUCAUUUAUUUUAAAAUACAAAACACAAAUAUAGCAAGAAAUAAUUUAAUUAAAAUUAUUCAUCUAUUUAUUUAUGCAUAAACUUAUGUAUACAUCCAUACCAAUUGAAGCAUAAAAGCAUGUAUAUAUAUAUAUCAAUUAAAGCAUAAAUACAAGUAUAUAUAUAUAUAUACCAAUUAAUGCAUAAAAUAGAGACUUGGUGUAGUGGUUCAGCCGUGGGCUUGAAUUUAAAGGGAAACAACCCAGGUCAUGGGUUUAAGCUCCCUUGGUGGCCUUUCCUCCAUUUUUAUAUAUAUACAUGUAUAUAUACCAAUUAAUGCAUAAAAUAGAGACUUGGUGUAGUGGUUCAGCCGUGGGCUUGAAUUUAAAGGGGAACAACCCAGGUCAUGGGUUCAAGCUCCCUUGGUGGCCUUUCCUUCAUUUUCCACCUUUUUUUUUUUUUAAAAAAAAAAAACAGCACGACACCUAAAGUGCGCCCUAAACGACGCUGGAGACGGCACCAGAGACGACACUGAGAGUGGCGCCUCGGAGCGUGCCCUAAUGGUGUUGCAAAUGGGCGCUUGGAAGCCUGCCUCAACGGUGUUGUAGAUGGCGCCUCAACAGCGCCUGGACUGAAUCACAUGAGAAAAUAUGUCACAAAUCUCUAUAGAAAUGGUACUAACCUGAAUCCAUUUGUGUGUUUGAUGAAGACGGUAUGGAUCUUCUAAAAGCAAUUGAGGACACCACAUCUUACACUAUAUUCUCUCAGGCAAUGGGAGCGGGAGAGAGAACGGUUGUUUUCUACUGUUCAAAGAUGUGAUGAUUGUGAAAAGACACAAGCCUUGGUCCUUUUAUACCCUCCUGCCUUAGGGACCAUACCCAUUGAUUAUUGGGCCUCACGGGCCUUAGGUCCAUCAUCUAAAACCCGUGAUGGUAUUAGGCUCUACACAUUAGGUGACCCAUACUCAAGAUUAAAAUCAGAUAUUAUAUGUUAACAGAUAGCUUAAUCCUGGACAAUGUUUAAUAUAAUGUCGGUCCACAUUUAUUCUAUCAUUUCAUACUUCUUAUCUUCUAGAAUUUUCCAUUCCCUUAGCCACUCCUUUUUUCCUAGACAAAUUCAUGAGGAAAUCCUCCUCUCUAAUGUGAUGACCCACUUUGUUUAAAACAUUUUUAAUUCAUCCCCCAUGCUCAUCUAGGGUCUUCCUGUGAUAAUUUUCACAUACUCUUUUCAUGACCAUUAAAAAAGUGAUCAAAUGUAAAAAAAAAAAAAAAAAAAAAAAACUAAGACAAAGCAGUUAGUGCACCUAUAAUACGAAAUUAAAUAUAUAUAUCAACCAAAAAUUAAAGUUCAAAUUCAUGAAACUAAAAUCAAAUUAUUAAUCAUGUGCAAUCAAACAUAAAAAAAAUGUCAAUCUCAUGCAAUCGAGAAAUUAAAAAAGAAAAAACAUUCUAAUACUCAUCUAACCCUAAAACCAUGCAAUGUGAAAACAAAUCUAAACUCAAAUGUACAAAAAAAAAAAAAAACCAAUCAAAAUCAAGCCAAAUAAAGCCCUAAGUUGAAAAGACUAGAGGUCAGUAAUCAUCACACUAAGGAUCUUCAAAAAGUCCCUGUAUCUCUAAAGAAAAUCCAAAGGUAGUGAUCGAAAGAAUUGCAAUGGACCACCGAUGAUGACUCAAAAAAAUAGCUUAUAUAAGGACCCUAAGGCUACGUUUGGUUCCCGGAAAAUGCGAGAGAAAGAAAAUUAGAAGGAAAAAUGGAAGGAAAAAAAAAGCUGAGGAAAUGAAUAUAAAUUUAUUCACUUGUUUGGUUAUCCAUAAAAAAUUCAAGGGAAAAAGAAAAGGAAUUCAUUUUCUUUUGUUUGGUUAACCACAAAAAAAAGUAAAGGAAAAAUGGAAGGAAAAUAAAAUCAACAAUUUGUUUUAGAUGGUUAUCAAUUUGUUGAAUAAUAAAAAAAUUUAGGAAAACAAAAAUUGAACUCUUGGAGUAGAUUGGUAGAAAGAUAUCAAUCUCAUUCAACCCUCCCUCGAAUUGUAUUCAGUGAUACACACUACUAUUUGUAGUUAGACUAUUUGAAUUAAUAAAAUUGAGAAAAAAAAUAUUAACAAAUUUUCAUGCCUAGCGUGUUAAAAACCAAUAUUUUCAUCUUUAUCUAUGAAUGUUUUAAUGAUUUUUUUUGUGUAUACAUGCAAAUUGUAUAUUGGUAUGUAGAUAAUUUUUUUUUAAUUUUUAAAAAUAGAAAAUAUUUAUUACUUCGAUAUAAAAUAUUUAAUUAUUUUUACUAAUAAAAAUAAAAAUUAAUUCAAAUAAUGUAAUUAUUUUUGUUAUUUGAAUAAUUUAUUGUGAUUCAUUUCAAUUGUCUUACUAUCACCCGGUGUAUCACUUAAAAAAUGAAGAGAAAAAUUAUAAUAAAUAAUAUUUUGUUUCGGGGUGGUAGCUUUUGUCAACUUUUCACACGAUCCUGGGAUGCCCCAUAAAACUAGUGACAAUAUGAUCGAGAUUGCAUAUAGCUUCAAGCAAGCAACUAAGAUUAGGAAGCCAACUUCAUUUAAACCUUGAAGGUUUAGAACAACUCCUAUCAGAGUUGUACUACAUAUAUCAGUAUCAAGAACUCUUCUCUCUAGCUGGUAAUCCUGCACUAGAAAGGAUGUUAUAAUAAUCUGCUCAAUGUUUUGAAUGAACUAAGAUGAUAUGGAGGUUGCCAUUACAGUGCACGACCCUCUGAAUAAUCACUCAUUUAUCUGUAAUGAAACAUGCAGAAUUCAUACAUAUGUACUAUGAUCAAUGUAGAGAUACAUGAGCAAAAAAGACUAGAUAAAAAUGUAAAAACGGGUAUCAAAACUAAGGUAAAAGUAGUUGCAGAUUUGAUUAUCCUUAAGUUGGUUUACACAACUUCUAACAACAGCCAGCCACUAAAAUUAGCCAACUAUACAGAGUGCCACUCCACAACCCUAUGAUGCUAUCUAUACAAAACAUAUCACCUUAAGCACCUGAGGCAAUCAAACUAAACUCUAUGCUCUGUUUAGUAGCCACAAAAAUGUAGAUAAUAAGAGAAAUCAAUUAAAGAAGUUCAGAAUUUGAAAUUCAAUUUGUGAAUUAUCGAAAACUCAAGAAACAACAAGCUGGUCUAAACCAAAAAAAGCAUAAUUUCCUCAAUUUUUCAGCUAACCAAACAAAGGAAUAAUUGAAUAACAUGCUGAAAAGAUAGAUGAACUUGCUUUGCCUGCACAAAUAAUAGAAAAGUAAAUUAGGUAAAAAGAAAUGGAAAACCCAUACACUAUUUUAGUUCAAAUGAAUCUCUAUUUUAGUUCAAAUGCAACAAAUGGGAUCACCAUUGAGGUUCCUUUGAUACACUAUUUUAGUUCAAAUGCAUAUUGAAUUUGUGUAUCAAGUGGCACAAUCAUAACUUGUCAUCCUUCCUCCAACUAAUGAACAUAAAUCUAAAUGAAAAAGCAGUACUUGAAUACUGCUUGGUGUGGAAGACAUCACGUGGUGAACCAUUUCUUAAAGCUUGCAUGUCAAAGUUCAAAUGCAUUAAGAUGCUAGAUUUAUCGUAUUUGAACUUUGACACAUUGCCAAAUUCUAUCAGUAUCUAAAGCAUCUCAGACUUCUAGCUGGAAUGAGAGGAUAAAGAAACUUUCAAAUUCAAUAUGCAAGUUGUUUCAUCUGCAAAGGUUGUCGCUUUUCAAAUGUGAGGGAUUUGAGAAUCUGCCCAAGGAGUUUGGGAACCUCAUCAGUUUUGAGGAAUUUAUGCUUCACCACGAAACAGAGGGCUUUGAUAGGGAUAGGACACCUAGAAUCUCUUCAUAUUUUAAGGAUUUACGAAUGUGAAAAUCUAGAAUUUCUACUUCAAGGGACGCAAAGCCUCACUGCCCUUCGGUCAUUGGCUAUUGGCGGUUGUAGGAGUUUGGAGACUUUGGCACCUAGCAUGAAACAACUGCCCUCGUUAGAGCAUCUCAUGAAUUUCGAUUGCGAAAAGCUCAAUUCACUGGAUGGAAAUAGGGAAGACCAUGUUCUAGGGCUCGGGAAUCUACGAGUUUUGAUGCUUAGAAAAUUACCAAAGUUGGAGGCAUUGCCAAUGUGCAACCUCACAUCCCUUGACAGACUUGUGAUUAGAGAAUGCCCUCAAUUGACUGAAAGAUGCAAGAAAACAACAGGGGAGGAUUGGCAUAAAAUCUCUCAUGUCUCAGAGAUAUGUAUCGAUGGCGUCAAAACACCAGAAAAUUAAGCAAGGUAUAAAAAUCUCUCAUAAAAACCUUUCUAGAUCCUGGUAAGCUGAACCUGUUUUCUUUCUUAAUUAGUGUGUCACAUUGUGAGGAGAUGUUUCAAGCUACCCUUGCUAAUGUUGAUCACCAUCUGUUUAGGAGGGAGUGAUGGUAGUAUGCCAGUAGCCACAACACAAAUAAACCCGAAAACAACAACCAUCCCCUUUUCUCCUACUCAAACAAAUCACAAUCCCCACUUCCCAUUUGAAAACACAACCCCAAUUAUAGCAUAUCCCACCUUUAAGCCCCUCACAAACCAAAAGACAGGACAGGUUUAUCCCUAGAUACCAGAAAGGCUUGACAAUAGAAGACAAUUGAAAUUGACAGAAUAUAGCAUAUCUAAGCAUUUAUCAAAAGCUUUAGACAAUAAAAUAGCAGUGCAAAAACAGUUUUCACAAUCAAGAGAAUUACUUGUAUUUAUUUUAGUAAGAUAACAAUAAUACAGAUGAAUGACAACUUCUAGUCAAGUUUCUCAUUUAGUGUCAUGUGAUUAAUUUCACAUUUGAAGAUAUAUGGAAGGGUCCCAUCGCAGCCCACUACCAAAUUUAUUGACUAUUUUCAGUUCGUUUUAUUAUUUAAUCUAUUGGGUCUGUAACGCAACAUGCAUCAUAAUUUUGUUUUUAUGGUAACAUUUCUAAUCAAGAGAGUAGAAACUGAUAUUUCUAACAAUCCAAUGUUAAACCGUCCAAAAAUUGAUGCCACAAACAAUGAUACAAAACAAUAACCAAGCACUCAGAGGCAGCAACAACAUACAUAUAUGCAAUACACAACUGCAGACCCAUUUCCCCAACCAAAUUAUGAAAAAACCAUCGGCUACUAAACAAUAGUAGAACAUCAAGGGUAAAAAUUAGACCAAAUCCAGAAAAGCAACAAGCCAAGAAAGUUUAGAAAAAUUAUGGCGAAAUUUAAGAAACGGGAAAUGCAAAAGCAACCUAGAAACCCAAAUAGAGAACCCAAGAGAGAGAGAUUACCUUGGGUUCUGGGUUUUCACAAGAUGAGGUGGAUUGGAGUUCAAUUCAUACCUGAUCUGAAGACAUGGAUCUGAAUACAUUCACUGGAUUUGAAGAAUUCAUUUCAUCUAUGGGAACUUGAUUUGAAGAACGCACUUCAUCCAUGGGAACUCGGGUGCCUGAAAAUGGUAGGAUUUCGACACUGGAAGGUGGUCAGAGUGAUAGUGGUGGCCGUUGAAAGGGUCGACGACGGUGAGAAGCCAUAGCCACCGAUGAAGAGGAAAUUAGAGGUGAAACCUCGGUGAACAAGAGCCCGAUAAAAUUUUCUCCCUCUUUUCCCUUCUAUUUUUCUCUUAUUUUCCUCAUUAUUUUUUUAAGGAAAAUAUCACAAUAUUUUCUUUAAUAUUUUCCUUUAUAUCUUUUUUUCCAUCAUAUUUUCCAUGUCAUCCAAACUAAAAAAAAAACCAUUUUUCUCUGCAUUUUUUUUCCUUUCCUUAGCAUUUUUCGAGAACCAAACAUAGUCUAAGAUCACAAACAAGUAACAGAGGAUGAAUGAUGACUAACUUGAAUAUCAUGUGCCAAGAGGACAAAAUAGAGGAUUUACACAAAGAUAUAGUGUUUGAUGGAACUAAAAUGACCCAAUUGAUAAAUACAAGUGAUGGAGAAAGUUUGAAAUUGACAAUACUAGAUAGAUUGCAAUUUGAGGUGGAGCUUGUAGAUUUUAAAAAUGUUCAAAAUCAAGGUUUGGAUUGAGAACCCGAUGGAAUGGAUAGAGAUGAAGUUGUUGAUCAUAGUCAUGAGGAAAAUACAAAAUUUGAUAGCCCAUACAGUCUGGAUAAAGACAGGCCUAGAAGAACAAUUCGCCCACCUCAAAAUUAUGCACAAGAAAAUUUAAUUGCUUUUGCAUUGACUGUAGCUGAAGAAUUAGAUGAAGUUGAACCUGCAACAUAUCAAGAAGCACUGAAAGGAAAUGAGAGGCAACUAUGGCAUCACACCAUGGUAGAAGAUAUGGAAGUACUGAUUAAGAAUAAGACCUGAACUCUAGUUGAAAAACCAAGGAAUCAAAAAAUAGUAAGCUGUAAAUGGAUUUUCAAGAAGAAAUAAGGGAUUAUGGGGGUUGAAAAGGCAAGAUAUAAAGCUGGAUUGGUUGCUAGAGGCUUUACACAAAGAAAAUGGGUGGAUUAUAAUGAGAUCUUCUCGCCAGUGGUGAAACAUUCUUCAAUCAGGAUGAUCUUACCUUUGGUUGCUGAUAGAAUCAUGGAAUUGGAGCAGCUAUAUGUCAAAACGACAUUCCUUCAUGGUGAACUGGAAGAAACAGUUUACAUGCAACAACCUGAGGGGUUUGUGAAGGACAAAAACAAGGUAUGCUUAUUAAGAAAGUCUCUAUAUAGACUAUGCUGUGAGUUUGGUAAGUAGGUUCAUGGGAAAUCUGGGGAAGACCCAUUAGGAGGCUUUGAAAUGGAUACUAAGGUAUCUAAAGGGAACACAAAGAACUUGUCUGAUAUAUAAAACUGGAAGUAAAGGUGAUGAUCCUCUGAUUGGGUAUGUGGACUCAGACUUUGCAGGGAGCAUAGGCACAAGAAAAUCCUUGACUGGUUAUAUUUUUACGUUGCUUGGUACUGCUAUAAGUUGGAAAGCAAAUUUACAAGUUGUGGUUGCUCUUUCGACAAUUGAAGCUGGAUAUUUUUUGUUGUAACAGAGGCAAUAAAUGAAACAAUUUGGUUAAAAUGUAUAAUUGAGGAGUUGGGACUAAAACUUAAAGUGUUUUGUGAUAAUCAAAGCACAAUACACCUGACUAAAAAUCAAAUGUUUCACAAGAGGACAAAACAUGUUAAUGUUAAAAUGCAUUUUGUAAGGGAAAUAGUGGCUGGAAGAAUUGCGGUAGUGGUGAAGAUAUCAACAGAAGAUAAUCCAAUUGAUAUGAUUACAAAAACAAUAACAACUGGUAAGUUUAGACAUUGUUUGAACUUGAUUAAUGUUCAAGAAUGCUCAAGCCCUCUGAAGGUCGGUCACCUCUUUGAUAAGAAGAAAUUAGGGGCCAAGGUGGAGAUUUGUUAUAAGUGUGAUGCAUAAAUUUCUGCCACUUGUUAUCUGAAAUGGUUAGUUAGUUAGUUUCAUUUUUUUGUUAUUUUCUCUUGUAACCUGAACCAUUUAUAUGGAAAGAGAAAGAAAGCAUAGCAGAGAAAAGAGCUUUUGAUUAAAGAGCUUUUGAUUUUCCAGAGAGUGCAUUUUUUGUGUGUAAUUCCAAGACACAACAUUUUUUCAUUUUUUUGUAAAAAGAGAAAGUAUUUGGAAAAUCAAAUUGAAAAUGCAGAGUGAAAUGCAAUAAACUUUUUGGCUUGAUAAAGAGAAGCUUUCUUAAACAAGAUUUACAAAAGAAAAACUGAUCUGGAAGACUAGAAAUUGCAAUAGGAUAAAUUAAUCGGAUGAAUUAGAUAAUUACAACAUCGGUCAAGUCAUAUCUGGAAGUGUUAUUAGAAGAGAACUUCGAAACAUGAAAUCGUUAAGUAAGAACCACACCUUGAUACUAUAAUGAAACAUAAAUUAUUCAGUAGCACCUACAUUUUAAUUGCGAAAUCAAUUUACAGAUCCUCUAUUUUGUCCUCUUGGCAUAUUCCAUUCAAGAAUGUCUUCCUAUAUCAUUUGUUGUCUUAUUGUGUACUUAUGGUUAACUACGUCAAUAGUUAGUUUUUUGGAUUUUUUGGAAGAGACAUUUUGGAGAGAUUAGGUGGAUCUGAAUCUUGAUUUUAAUGACCUUUGAUUCUUAGUUUAGAAUUUUUUUUUUUGAUUGAUUUAUAGUAUAUUUGCAUUUGUUUAGAAUUUUAAAACCUAAUUAAUAAUUAGUUUCAUUUAUUUUUAAGAAAUAAAGUGUAAUAAGUGUUUGAUAAUGAAUUAAGACAAAAUCUUCUAUAAUUAAGGAUUAAUAUGAUUCAAUUACUUUGUUAAAAUCAUUUUAUAAAUUAUAGAAUUUGAUAUAUUAACUAUGUUUAUUAAUUAGAUAAAUUGAGAAUUAAUAUAUUAUGAUCAUUAAAUAUAUGUUUUAAAAUUUUAAAUCAUGCUAGAACAAUAUUUAUUUCAGUAUUUUAUGAACAUUAAAUUAAAAUAUAUAUUUAAAUGACUUGCAAAUAUUAAAUUAAAUUUUAAAAAAUAAAAAAUAAUAAGAUGAGUUAUUUUUUAUCUAAUAACAUUGCACUAAAUAUCCAUUUUCAUAACAUCUUAGAUUUCUAUCUUCUUUAUCAUUCUCAUAAUCUAAAAAAAUAAUUAUAAAAAAUAAUAAGCGCUCCUUCAGGCAUCAUCCUCUGGUGCAUCAGCUCGCCCAUUAGUCCAUUAAUUUUAAAGAUUCCCUAACCGUUCGUAGCUGCUGCACCUAGACCCUACUAGCUUACACCUAAUCCCAUCGCCCAUAAUCCUAACCCAUUAGCCUUUCAUAGCUGCAACUGCAAAGUACCUACCCAGACCCUACUAGCUUACACCUAAUCCCGUCACCCACAAUCCUAACCCAUUAGCCUUUCAUGACAACAGCUGCAAGGUAGCUGGACCAGUGAUCCCUUACCACUUUUGUAGCUGUUGGAGAGUUUUGGGUCAAAACGUCCCAUUUAUGAAAAAUAUAUAUAUAUAAUAAAAUAAAUAAAUAAAUAAAAUUAGAUAUAACUACUUUAACAAACUUAUAUUUUGGCAUAAUGUAAAAUUCAUAUCAUUAAAAUAUAUAUAUAUAUUUAAAAAUUUUAGUUAAAGUCUCAAUUGAUAACUAAGAUUUUAUUUUUUAAUUAAAAUCAUAGUUGCCAAUUAAAGUUUCAAUUUUUAAACUAAAGCCGUAAUUUUUUUAAAUAAAACCUUAUUUGACAACUGAGAUUUCAUUUUUGAAUUAAAACCUUAAUUACCAAUUGAGAUUUCAAUUAAUUUUUUUACAUUAAAAUUUAAUUAAAAAAUAUUAAAUUAUAAUUUAUCAUUGAAAUUAAAAAAUAUACUUUAAUAAUAAAUUAUUUAUAUUUAAGGUUAAGAAUAUAGUAUUACUUCAAUAAACAUAAAUUGAUAAAUAGAAUAUAUUAUAAAUGAAUAUUUUAUUUAUUAAUAAAUUAAUAAUCUUAAAAUAAUAAAUUUAUAUAACAUAUAAAUAAGAUAUAACAUUGUAUGAUUUAUUAAUUUAAGUAUUUAUUUGUUGUUUUUUAAGAUAUUAAUUUAUUUGUAUUAUGAUAUAUAUAUAUAUAUAUAUAUAUAUUACUUUCAAAUUUAAUUAAAAAAUAUUAAAUUACAACUUAUUAUUGAAAUUAAAAACAUAUAUUUUAAUAAUAAAUUAUUUAUAUUUAAACUUAAAAAUCUAGUAUUACUUCAAUAAACAUAAAUUGAUAAAUAUAAUACAAUAAAUGGAUAUUUUAUUUAUCAAUAAAUCAAUAAUCUUAAAAUAAUAAAAUUAUAUGACAUACAUAUAAGAUAUAAAAUUUCAUAAUUUAUUAAUUUAAGAUAUUUAAUUUGUUAUUUUUUAAGAUAUUAAUUUAUUUGUAUUAUGACAAAUUUAUCUUUAUAGAAAUAAUAAUAUACUCUUAAGUUUCCAUAUAUAGAUUUUUUCACAAAAAUAGUUAAUGAAAUUAAUUAGAAAAAGUCUACUAUAAAAUAUAAUUUUUAAUAGUUUUAUCAAAGUUACAAAAAAUACUCACUAAACAUUUAUAUACUGGGAAAAAAAAACAUAUAUAAUCUUAUAUGCUUCCAUAAGGAGUGAACAUAUGGAUAAAUUUAACAUAAUACAAAUAAAUUAAUAUCUAAAAAACAACAACAAACUAAAUACUUAAAUUAAUAAAUUAUACAAUUUUAUAUCUUAUUUAUAUGUUAUAUAAAAUUAUUAUUUUAAGAUUAUUAAUUUAAAAAUAAAUAAAAUAUUUAUUUAUAAUAUCUUUUAUUUAUUAAUUUAUGUUUGUUGAAGGAAUACUAGAUUCUUAAACUUAAAUAUAAAUAAUUUAUUAUUAAAAUAUAUAUUUUUAAUUUCAAUAAUAAAUUAUAACUUAAUAGUUUUUAAUUAAAUUUUGAAGUAAAAAAAAAAAAAAAUUAACUGAAGCCUUAGUUGGUAAUUGAGGCUUUAGUUCAAAUAUGAAGUUUCAAUUAUCAAUUAAGGUUUCAGUUAAAAAAUAAAGUUUCAAUUGAUAAUUGCGACUUCAAUUCAAAAAUUGAAAUGAAGACUCAGUUACUAAUUGAGGUUUCAAUUAAAAUUUUAAAUAUAUAUAUAUAUAUAUAUAUAUAUAUAUAUAUAUAUAUAAAUUUGAACAUAAAUUUCAGUCAUUACAUAUAAAUUUUUUAUUUUUAUAUAUUUAAAUAUGGGUCAUUUUGACCCAAAACGCUCUGUUAGAGCACCACAAUGAAGCCAAUAUCAACUGCUAAAGUCACACCUCAUAGCCACACAACAAAGAGUCUCAUCAACUGUCUCAUCUCUCUGCCACAAUCCAGCUUUAUGUCACAGGAUACUUCAAAUGAACCUCCUCAUGGGCUUAUAUAGAGCCUAGGAAGCUUAUGGAGACUCCUACACUUAGCCAUUAGUGAGAAGAGUGUGGAAGGUUCUAGAGAUGCCUAGAGAAGUCCACACAUCUCUACACUAAGGUGGAAGGCAUGAGAGGAGUCCAAAGCUUUCUAUAGAAUUAUAGAGGUCUCUUGUAAAUAGACUUGUACAUAGAAUGGUGUAGGGUGUUCUAGAAUAUUCUUGAAUUGUAAGGAACCUCCAAGGUGCCAGAGAGUUCAAUUGGUACCUAUAAAUAGGUGAGUGUCUCAUUUGGCCAAGGCACCAAGCAAGUGAGUUCCCAAAAGCACUUGUAAAGCUUCUUUUGAGUAAUAAAAGCUUUCAUUCUUUAAGCGUCACCUACUACGCCUUCUAAAACUUUAUAGUCGUGAGCAUCUUAGCCUAGCAAAUUAAGCAUUGAGAGUAAGGUUGACUUAGCAAGAUCGAGUGUCUUGACUUGUCUAAGUGCCACACGAGCUUAGGAAAAUCCUAAGUUUAUGACAAGUGGUAUCAGAGCGCGGCUAUGAAGCAAGCAUAGUAAAAGAAGCAUGUCGGGCUAACAUAUAGGAGACUAGAGAGCAAACCCGUGGGAGGGAGAUCAAGCCUAUUGCACAAGGUAGGAACAAUAAGGAUAAAUCUCAUGAUGUCAUAGCCAACAUGGAGGCAAGGCUAGCCAAGGUGGAACUAGCCAUGGCAAACACUUGGGAGGGGUGGACUUGAUUAAGCAGGGCAUGGAGAAGGGCUUAGAAGAUCUAAGGGAACAAAUACAAGACCUUCGUGAGGGGGUUCUAGGCUCACAAGUUCAACCGGUGUCAUACGAGGAGUUCAUGUCAUUCCAAGACAAGGUCAUGAGCAUGUUCGCUAGUAUAGAGUCAAGGGUGGAGGCCUUGGUUGCACGCAUGAAGACCUGAGACUAGGAGAUUCGACAAGAAAUGACCAUCUAUAAGAUUGCGAUAUCAAUAUGAGUCAUGGCUACUCAUGAGGCACCAAGAGUGGAGAUGCCCAAGCCACAUACGUUCAAUGGCAAGAGAGAUGCUAAGGAGCUGGAUAACUUCCUAUGGCACAUGGAGCAUUACUUUGAGGCUAUUGCACUGACGGAUGAAGCCACUAAGGUACGCACCGCAACCCUCUAUCUCACUGAUAAUGCUACUCUAUGGUAGCGUCGGAGGUUUGCCGAUAUAGAAAAAGAGAUGUGCACCAUAGACACAUGGGAUGUCUUUAAGUGAGAAAUCAAAAGACAAUUAUACCCUGAAGAUGUGGCUUACCUAGCGAGGAAGAAUAUGAAGCAUCUCAAGCACAUGUGCUUGAUCCAUGAGUAUGUCAAAGAGUUCUCUACGCUCAUACUUGAGAUACCUAACAUGUCCGAGGAGAAGCUACUGUUCAAUUUCAUGGACAACCUGCAAAGCUUGGCUAAGCAAGAGUUGAGGAGACGUGGUGUCCAAGACCUAGCCAUGACCAUGGCAGUAGUAGAGUCCUUGGUGGAAUAUAAAAGGGAAGACUCCUCCAAACCCAAGCCACAAUCCAAAAGUAAUCAUGCUAAAGGUGGGGAAGACAAGGGAUCACGAGGCUACCCUUCUAAAGAAGGAUCAAGCAGAGGCCCUAGUGGCAAUGAUGGAAAAGGCAAGGAUAAAUGGAAGGAGUUCAUGCCUAGGACCAAUUGCUUCUUAUGUGAUGGUCCACACUGGGUACGGGAUUGUCCCAAGAGGAAAGCCUUAAAUGCUAUGAUCGAGGAAAAAGAGAAGGAAGACAAUGCUCAUGUAGGAUCAUUACAACUCCUAAACACCCUCAAGGCCAAGUUGGUGCCUACGAUGCCUCAAAGCAGAGGAUUAAUGUAUGUAGAAGCCCUUGUAAAUGGGAAUGCCACCAAGGCCCUGGUGGACGCCGGUGCCAUUCAUAACUUUGUCUCGGAGGAUGAGACAAAGUGACUAGAGCUCCAAGCAUCCAAAGAAAGAGGUUGGCUUAAGACAAUUAAUUCCGCUGCCAAACCAUCACACGGAGUAGCUCACGGGGUGACUAUGCACAUCGACUCAUGGGAAGGAAAUAUCAACUUCACAGUGGCACCCAUGGAUGCCUUCAAGAUGGUACUAGGGAUGGACUUCCUAUAAAAGGUCAAGGUCGUGCCACUACUCUUCCUACGCUCAAUGGCUAUCUUAGAGGAGGAGAAUCCAUGCAUGGUCCCUAUGGUCACCGAAGGUUCAUCCAAGACCCCUAUGUUAUCAGCUAUGCAAGUAAAGAAGAGAUUAAAGAGAAAAGAGGUGACAUACCUUGCCACCCUUAAAGAAAAAAAGGAUGAUGGGUCGGGAGAACCCAUGCUUAAUGAAAUCAAGGAAAUCCUUGAUGAGUUCAAGGACAUGAUGCCGCUCGAGUUGCCCAAGAGACUUCUUCCUAGGAAUGAGGAAGACCAUAAGAUCGAGAUAGAGCCGAGAGCUAAGUCUCUAUGCUAUGAGACUAUACAGGAUGGCACUGCCCGAACUGGAAGAGCUAAAGAGACAACUUAAGGAGUUGUUGGACGCAGGGUUCAUCCAACCAUCCAAGGCUCCCUACGGCGCACCGGUCUUGUUUUAGAAGAAGCAUGAUGGGUCCCUACGGAUAUGUAUCAACUACCGGGCACUCAACAAGGUAAUGGUAAAGAACAAAUACCCUAUUCCGCUCAUCGUUGGCUUGUUCGAUCAACUUGGUAGGAUGAGAUACUUCACGAAGUUAGACUUGAGGUAAGACUACUACCAAGUAAGGAUUAUGGAAGGGGAUAAACCGAAGACCACAUGUGUGACCAAGUAUGGCUCAUAUGAGUUCUUAGUGAUGCCCUUCGGUUUCACCAAUGCCCCAACAAUGUUCUACACACUCAUGAAUAAGAUCUUCCAUCCAUAUCUAGACAAGUUCAUGGUGGUAUACUUGGAUGACAUAGUCAUCUAUAGUAACACCUUAAAGGAGCAUGUCGAGCAUUUAAGGAAGGUCUUUAAAAUCCUAAGGCAGAACGAGCUAUAUGUAAAGAAGGAGAAAUGCUCAUUUUCUAAGAAAAAAGUUAGCUUCCUAAGGCAUCGCAUCAAGGAUGGCAGACUAAUGAUGGCUAAUAGUAAGGUGAAAGCCAUCCAGGAAUGAGAUUUACCAACCUAGGUACCUUAGCUCAGAUAUUUCCUUAGUUUAGUUAAUUACUACUGGCGGUUCAUCAAGGGUUAUUCGGUAAGGGCAACUCCACUCAAUGAUCUUUUUAAGAAUAACAAGGCAUGAGAAUGGGAUGAAAGGUGCCAACAAGCCUUUAAAUAUCUAAAAAAAGUUGUGACUGAGGAGCCAGUGUUGGCACUACCCGACCACACCAAGGUUUUUUAGGUACACACAGAUGCCUCAGACUUCGCUAUUGGAGGAGUCCUUAUGUAAGAUAGGCAUCUAAUCGCCUUCGAGAGUCGCAACCUAAAUGACAUGGAGAGGCACUACACGGUGCAAGAGAAAGAAAUGACCACCAUCGUCCAUUGCUUGCGCACCUAGAGACACUAUCUUCUAGGGUUUCACUUCAUAGUGAAGACCAACAAUGUUGCCACUAGCUACUUCCAAACACAGAAGAAGUUAAGCCCUAAGCAAGCUAGGUGGCUAGACUUCCUGGCCGAGUUCGACAAUACGCUGGAGUAUAAGUCAGGAAACAUUAAUCAUGUGGACAACGCCCUAUGCUGUAAGACAGAACUAGCAUCUAUGAUGAGUCAGCCCCAAUGAGACAUAAUGAAUCUUCUAAGGGAGGGGCUACAACAUGAUCCAGUGGCUAAGAGCCUCAUAGCCCUGGCUGGUGAAGGGAAAACUAAGUAGUUUUGGGUAGAAGACAACUUACUCUACACUAAGGAGAGACGACUCUACGUGCCUAAGUGAAGGAACAUAAGAAGGAAUCUGAUUAAGGAGUGUCAUGACACCAAGUGGGCUGGGCACCCCGAGCAAUGACGCAUGAGGGUAGUACUUGAGUUGGCUUACUACUGGCCUCAAAUACGAGAUGAAGUUGAGGCCUAUGUGAGGACUUGUCUUGUGUGCUAGCAAAACAAGGUGGAGCAACGACAGUGUAGAGGCCUGUUAGAACCACUACCAAUAGCAGAGUGCCCAUGUGACAAUGUCACCAUGGACUUCAUCAUCGAGCUACCCAAUUCGGAGGACAACGACUAUAUCAUAGUAAUAGUGGACAUGUUCUCUAAGUAUGCGACCUUCAUCGCAUCCCCGAUUGACUGCACUGCGGAGGAGAUGUCGAGACUAUUCUUAAAGCACGUAGUCAAGUAUUGGGGGUUACCUAAGUAUAUUAUCAAUGAUUGCGAUCCGCAUUUCAUUGGGAAGUUUUAGAUGGAGCUUUUCAAGCUUAUGGGUUCGGAGCUUCACUUCUCCACAAGCUUUUGCCCAUAGACAGAUGGGUAGACUGAGAGAGUGAAUGCCUUAUUGGAGCUAUACUUGAGGCACUUCGUGAGUGCCAACUAGAAUGAUUGGGCUAAGUUGCUAGAUAUAGCCUAGUUCUCAUACAACUUGCAAAUGAAUGAGGCAACCAACAAGAGCCCGUUCGAGUUAGCCACAUGGCAGCAACCCUUAACUCUUCACACACUAACGAUAGGCUAUACAAGGAGAAGUCCAGCGGCUUUCAAGUUCGCAAAGGGAUAACACGAGCAAGUUGACAUAACACGCUCAUACUUGGACAAGGCCACUAAGAAAAUAAAGAAGUGGGCUGACAGGAAGCAACGUCACACGGAGUACAAGGUUGGAGACAUGGUGUUUGUCAAGCUCUUUCCUCAACAAUUCAAAUCCCUAAUGUUGGUGCAUAAGGGCCUUGUGAGGAGGUAUGAAAGACCCUUCCCCAUACUUGGGAAGGUCGGCAAGGUGUCUUAUAAAGUUGAGUUACCACCAAGGUUGAAGAUUCAUUCCGUCUUUCAUGUAAGUUACUUGAAACCAUAUCACGAAGACAAGGAUGAUCCAAGCCAAGGGUUUUCUAAAAGGGCACCUACAGCGGUCGUGACCUCUUAUGACAAGAAGGAAGAACACAUCAUCACAUAUCGAGUCAUUAUAAGACGAGGUGUGCCUCCUACUACAGAGUACUUAGUGAAAUGGAAGAGACUACCAGAGAGUAAGGCUACCUGGGAGCCAGCAGAUGCACUAUGGCAAUUCCAAGAGUAGAUUGAGCAGUUCCGGGAAAAAUGCACGACAAGGAUGUUUGCGACUUAAAUGGGAGAAAGUGUCACAAGAUGCUUCAAAUGAGCCUUCAUAUGGGCUUAUAUAGAGCCUAUGAAGCUUUUGGACACUCCUACACUUAGCCAUCAGUGGGAAGAGUGUGGAAGGUUCUAAAAAUGCCUAGAGAAGUCCACACAUCUCUACAUUAAGGUGGAAGACAUGAGAGGAGUCCAAGGCUUUUUAGAGACUUCUAGAGGUCUAUUGUAAAUAGACUUGUACAUAGAAUGGUGUAGGGUGUUCUAGAAUAUUCUUAAAUUGUAAGGAGCCCUCCAAGGUUCUAGAGAGUUCCAUUGGUGCCUAUAAAUAGGUGAGGGCCUUAUUUGGCCAAGGCACCAAGCAAGUGAAUUCCCAAAAGCACUUGUAAAGCUUCAUUUGAGCAAUAAAAACUUUCAUUCUUUAAGUGUUGCCUACUACGCCUUCUAAAACUUCGGAGUCGUGAGCAUCUUAGCCUAGCAAGCUAAGUAUUAGGAGUAAGGUUGACUUAGCAAGAUCAAGUGUCUUGACUUGUCUAAGUGCUGCACGAGCUUAGGAAAAGACUAAUUCUAUGACAUUUAGCUGUCUAGGACCACAUCAAUACAGCCCCCGUCAGCUACUCAUCCCUACAAUAAUUCAACAUGCAUCAUCGACUUUUGGGGCAAAAUAGCCAUUUCAUGUAAAAAAAGAUAUCAGUUUUAGCCCCCUUACAAAACUUAUGUUCAAAUUGGCCCCUUUAUUGCCACAUAGGAGUCAUGUCAUAAUUUUUUUAUUUUAUAAAAUUUAAGUUGAAGCCUUAGUUGCCAACUAAGGCUUCAUUUUUGAACUGAAGCCUCAAUUGCCAACUAAGGCUUCAUUUUUUAACUAAAGUCUCAGUUACCAUUUGAGGUUUCAGUUAUUUUAUUUUUUUAGUUUAAAAUUUAAUUAAAAAUAUUAAAUUUUAAAUUAUUAUUGAAAAUUUAAAAAAUAUACUUUAAUAAUAAAAAUUUAUAUAUUUAAACUUAAAUAUCUAAUAUUACUUCAAUGAAGAUAAUUUGAAAAAUAUAAUAAAUAAAUAUUUUAUUUAUCAAUUAAUUAAUAAUAUUAAAAUAAUACAAUUAUAUGACAUAUAAAUAAAAUAUAGAAUUAUAUCAUUUAUUAAUUUAAGUUAUAUCACAUGUAAUAUUAGGGAGGGAUUUUUUUUUUCCAUUAUAUAAAUGUUUAAUGGGUAUUUUUUUUUUUACUUUGAUGAAAUAACUAAAAAUUACAUUUUGUCGUAGAUUUUUUCUAAUUAAUUUCAAAAUGUAUUUUCAAGACAUAUAUAUUAUGUGUACAAAUAAUAGUAUUUUUUAUGUUAAAUUAUAAAUAUAUGCUUUAAAAUUAAAAAAAAAUCUAUAUAUGGAAACUUAAGAAUAUACAAUUAUUUCAAUAAAGAUAAAUUUUUCAAAUUAAAAAUAAAAUAAUAUAUUAAAAAUACAACAAAUUAAAUAUCUUAAAUUAAUAAAUAAUAUAAUUUUAUAUCUUAUUUAGAUUUCAUAUAAUUUUAUUAUUUUAAGAUUAUUAAUUUAUUGAUAAAUAAAAUAUUCAUUUAUUAUUAUAUUUAUUAAUUUAUCUUUAUUGAAGUAUUAUUAGAUCUUUAAGUUUAAAUAUAUAAAUUAUUAUUAUUAUAUAUUUUUAAUUUCAAUAAUAAUUUGUAAUUUAAUAUUUUUAAUUAAAUUUUAAAGUAAAAAAAAAAAAAUAAACGAAGCCUCAAUUGCCAAUUGAGGCUUUAGUUAAAAAAUGAAGCCUCGAUUGGCAAUUGAGACUUUAGUUCAAAAAUGAACUCUCAAUUGGCAGCUGAGGUUUCAAGUUAAAUUUUGAAAAAAAAUAAAAAUUUGUGACAUGGUUCUUAUAUGGCAAUAAAAGAACUAAUUUGAACAUAAGUUUUAUAAAGCGGCUAUGUGACAAUAAAAUGGCUAAUUUGAACAAAAGUUUUGUAAAAUAGAAGCUAAUAUUUCUUUACAUGAAAGGGUUAUUUUGGCCCAAAACUUUGCCUCGACCCUCCCUAGCAGCCCCUCAUACAAACCAUAACCCUAGUCGUCCAAGCUACAUUGCACGAAGCCAUCCACUAGCUGUCCUUCCCGCCAUUUCACUAUCAAAAGCUCUCAUCUAAUAUGUCAUGACUGCAACAACCAUCCACCGGUUAUCCACUCUUUCUUCCAUUUCUCAUACCCAUGUCUCAAACUUCAACUUCCUUUCUUCUGCCCUUAGCUUUCUUUCUCUUCUUUCCAGACCAUAUGAAUCCACAUUAUCCAUCUUCAUUUUCCUAUAUUUUCUCUUUCAAGCUCUCUUUCCCAACUUCACAUGGUAGUAACAAAAACUCUCAUUCCCAUCAACUCAUUUCUUUUCCCAUCGUUGUGGCAUCUCUCACCCGCACCUCCAUCUACCAUUUUCUAGAAUUCAUCUGCAACUACUGGACAACCUAGGCUAUGCCAGAAGCGAAAUAUGGAAGAAAGAGAAGAGUAGCCUAAGCCGAGCAAUAGUUUUCUUCCUUACAUACCUCGUCGGGGUUGUUUUCAGUUUCAUAGUUGUUGUUUCAAUCCCAAGCGCUUCUCUCUACACUACUGACGAUAACUAGCUCACCAUCCUCUUUGACCUUUCUUGCGAAGUGAUCGAUGACGCCAUUGAUGAGAACUCCAACUUGAUCAGCAGUUUUCUUCAAAAUGGCUUGAGCUAUGUUUGCGAGAAGUUUGGUUCAAAACUUGCAUUUCAGACCUUGAAAGCUCCAUUUCUGGUUCUGCAAUUCUCAGCAUAGCUGGAAAGAUGAAGUACUUUGGUGCUGGUUUUCUUCCCCGACGUGUUG